CCUAAUUCUGAUAUUGUGAGCUACUCGAUGCCUUAGGGCAAAAUCUAGCAAUGUGCCUCAGAUCACCACUAUGAGCAUGUGAUUUUUGCCCGAACUAAAAUAUUCUUACAUAAUUCACAAAAUAAGAUUUUUUUCUAAUUAUUUUAAUUUCUUAUAAAAUUUUUGGGAAUUUCUUGCUAAUUGUUGUUUGCAUGUAGUUGCAUGUUUAAUAUUUUAAAAUAACAAAAAAUACCACAAAAUGUCAAAAGGUUUCAUGCAUUGCAUUUUAGGCUUAUAUUUGAAUUAAGUUGUUAAUUAAUUGUAUUAUUAAAUAAAAAAUCAUAAAUAUUGGUCAUUUUUACAUUUGUAGUUUUAGUUUUAAAUUAGUAAUUUUAUUUCGUUAUUUUUAAGUUAAAUUAAUUGUUCAAAUAUUAGAAAUAAUUAAUUAAGUUUAUUUCACAAAUAAGAUUUGAUUUAGGACCUAAGCUAGGUUUUAAAAUAAAAGAAAAAGAAAAGAAGAAGGGAAAAAACAAAGAAAAGAAAAAGGGGGCGGUUUGGGCUAGCCCAAUUUUUUUUAAAACAAUAAAGCCACCCCAGCCCAAUCUCCACUAUUCAAAAAUCCGAUCCAACCCCUCACUAAUCCAAACGACGUCGUUUGGCGUGUUUUGAUCUGGGCCGUUCAAAUUCUACAAUCCUACGACCUAGAACUAACUCCCCAAAUCCUUAAAAAUGUCUAAACCCCUCCCCCACCCCAAACCCUAAAGACCACUCCCAUUACUCUCUCUCUCUCUCUCUCUCACCCCUGUCUCUCACCAUCGUCCGCCGCCGACCAAAAAUUGCCUAUGGUGGCGGCGACACCACAAACCACCCCAAAAUUAUACCACGCACUCCCCAUCUUCCCCUCAACCCUAAUUCAUCACCAAUUUUCCCAAAAUCCCCACCAAUAUUCUCCAAUUUCAAAUAUCAGAAACCCUAAAACCCAAAUUUUUCCCUUUUUGAUUUUUGUGAGCAAAUUCACCCGUUUUGACUAAAGAUUUACGUUGGUCAAUUGUUCUUGACAAGAAUAAUUGGUUAAUGUUAGUCUUGGGUCACUUCGAAGUUUAUCAAAUUCCGACCAAGUCAUCACUAACCAGCCAAGCUUCGUCGCCAUCGUCAUUCGUUGAUUCGCCUCGUUUGUCCACUUAUUUCCGGCCAAAUCAGUAAAUAUUUCCUUUCCCUUUUUCUUGUUUCUUUUUCUGUUUUUGGGAUCACUAGUCAGGUGUUGAUUAUUAUUUUGAUUUGCCCAAGUAAAAUAGGAUUAGCAUGAUCGUUAGUUUAAUCGCAUGUAUUUAGAUUAAUUGAAUCAAUUUUAAUUAGUUCAGUAAUCUAGUUAGGUGAAUUAGUCGUUUGUUUCUAUUUCAUUUGAUCUUUGAUUUGGUUUUUGAUUGUUCGAUUGCUAAUGUUGAAUGUCAAUUGAAUUAGAAGAGUUUAAGGGGUAAUAAUAGAAACCUUAAGGGGGCAAAAAGUAAUAAGAAAGUGAAGGAAUCUUUCUGUUUUAGCUGUUGAGAAAGUUCUAGAAUAGAGAUAAGGGUCUAAAAUAUAAUAAAACAACUGAAUUAAAUCAGAUUUUUUUUUAUCUGAAUGGAUAGUUGUCCCAACAUUUGUCCACUUUUUAAUAAAAAAAUAUUUUUCCCUAAAUUUUAGGGACUGCAUUUGUUAGAUUAUUCCCUCACCCUUUGCAUAUAUAAGAAGCCUCAUAGUCCCUUCAUUCGACAGAAUUCACAUACGAAAAAUAUUCUCUACACUUCAGAAUUUCCCUUUCAUUUUUGACACUGAUUUUUGCAUUUAAAAAGGAAGGACACCGAAUUUUCUGAAAUUUACACUCACUCACACAAAAUUCAGAAGUUCUGAUUUUCUUUUAACCCUUGGUCUUCUUCAGUUGGUUCUUGAGCUGAAGUUGAAAUUCAUUUCUGGAGUUUCUUCAUUGCUGUUUAUCCUGCUUACCUACUGCUGCUUUUUCUGAGUUUUCUGAGUUUCCUCCUUUAGUUUCCUGACCUUUAUUUGGUCUCAGUUCUGUGAUUUUUGUUGUAAGUAUGUUAAUUUUCACUUAGAUUAUAAAUGAAGAUUUAAAUGUUUAUCUCCAUGGCUAUAUUCAAUCAAAUGCCUUAUCUUUAAGCUAUAUUAUCAUAUCUACCCUAUCUCUGCCUUUCUUUUAGUGAUUAUUUCUGUUUAUUUGUUGUUUCCUGAUAAAAAAAAUUUAUUAGUUGUUCCAUGUUUCAAAGAAUGUAUGAGAUAUGAUGAAGUAUGUUGAAACUUGAUGUUAAUCUAUAUGUUGUUUUCAAUUAGAAUGGUAGCUUUGUCUAUUUAGCCAUCUCAAGCUUAAAGCUACUCAUUUUCAGAAUUUGAACUUGAUUCUUACGAAUCGAUAAAGGGCAGGAGACUACUGAAGUCAGUAGAAAGAUUUCUUAUGAGUGUGUGGUGGUAUAGAGAUUUUAAUCAUAUCUCUUAAGUGGAUUAAUGUGUUGAAUUUUAGUAAAGAUGCUUACAUAAGUGUUGAUAUGUAUAAAUGAGUAUAAAUUAACAGAAUUCAUCUUGUUUUUAUAUUCAGCUUCAGUUCUCUUAGAAUAACAAGUUUUUUAAUAAUUUGUUCUUCAAAACAGUUAUCAUUUCCCCAUUUAUCCUAUUGUUGUAUGAUUUGUUGCAAGGCAUCUAUCAGAUGAAGCAUGAAUAGUCUAUCAAUUGAUUACAUGUAAUUUUAAUAUGAGAAUGUUUGUUUAUAUGGUAUUCGAUUGGGCUCCAAAUGAGCCUGCUUAGACAGCUGAAUAUUCCCUUGUUUUGGGCCCAUAUCGGCUCAUGAACAAAAUAAAGCUUAUUUGUUUUAGAGCCAACAUGGAACAUCUGAUUUCUCUUCUCCAUUAUUGAACGAAAAACUCUAAAUGCCCCUCCCCAGUAAUUCUAAAUUUUAUAUUAUCAAGCACAUGAAGCGUGGAGUGUUCCUCCUUUUUCCAAAACUGUGCAAUUUUUAGCGUUUCCUAAGCAACAUAUAGCUAAUCCCAAGUUCUACCCUGAUAAUCUAAAAUCACGCAAUAAAUAACUUAUAGGUUUUACUUUAAACCCGAAUAAAGUAUAUGAGAAUAAACAACUUAUGAACAUUUGUGGAAAUGCUUUUAGAUACGUAUUUAAUCAAGCCACCGUAAUUAUGUACACGUUCGCGUGACAUGAUUACGAUUUCAAAAUGAAUACUCGUAGAAAUGCUUGGAGAUGCGGUUUAAAUUAUUAUUGUGAUUGUGUACACAUUCGCGUGACAAAAUUACGAUUUUGAAAAUUAAAUUGAGGUAUGCAUUCGCACAACUUCGGCCAAACAACCUUAAUAAUAAUAAAGUUUAGUUAAUUGUGUAUACGUUCGCAUGACAUGAUUUUAGCGCCCCAAAUAAAAUGAGUUUACACACAUGUAAUCUAUUUCAAGAUUAAAUCCAUAACGCCAUAAUUAAAAGCGGUAAAAAGGGUAAAAGUACAUAGGUUCUAAAAUGAGUAAUUAAACAAAAUAAUUAAGCCAGGUAUGAAUAAAGCGACCGUGCUAAAACCACAAAACCCGGGAAUACCUAACACCUUCUCCCGAGUUAAUAGAAUUCUUUACCCGAUCUUCUGUGUUCGCGGACCAUAAAUAAGAGUCAAUUUCCUCGAUUUGAGAUUUAAAAUAAACCGGUAACUGGGGACACCAUAAAUAUCCCAAGUGGCGACUUUGAAAUUAAAUAAAUAAUCUCAUUUAUAUUAAUAUCACUUUAAUUGGAAAACUCCCCUAUCCCCUCGAAAAAAGAAGGUGUGACAGCUCUAGCGACUCUGCUGGGGAUCGAACCCAGAAUCUCUGGUUCAGGGUUCAGAGUUCGAGCUUGUUAAUAUGAUUUAUACCUGGCUUUAUUUAUUGUUGAUAUUACUAUAUUUUUGGGCCUAAUGUGUUAAUUGCCGCUUAUUUACCGCUUUGAUAUUAUUUGAAUUGUAUCAAACUGUCUUCUUACGCCUCCCUUCUGAGUUUUCUAACAAUAUGGUGCACAUGUAUGUGUGGCCCACUUUUUUAUUAGACUUCAUACCAAAUAGAACGAGGCUGGGUCAUAAACUAGGCCGGGUAGACUUUCGUGCUUCCGGUACAUUGCCCCACCUCGGCUCGAGCUGUCCGCUCGGGUAAGCCAUGUCUAGAACACAACCCUAGGUUUAAACCUAGAAUAACAUAGCACCAUAUCGGAUCCCUAGUAGGAACGUUUAUUUGCAUCACGUGCAUUUGACUUUGGAGACUCACAGAGAUUGAGUCCGGAUGUACUCGAAAUAAAACACCAUCCCGAUGCAUCUUACGUGCUAUUUGCACAUUUAUUUGCUUCGGCUUGCAUGUUGAUCGGCUAGGAAAAGAAAAUCAAGAGAAAAAACCAAGAGUGAGGUAGGAGAGAAAUUGAGCCUGAUUCUGAAAACCCCGGUAUUUAAAAAUAUCCUGAAACUCUGCCAAAAUAUUUCAAAAAAAGAAGAAGAAAAAAAAUGAUUGAAAAUUGAAAAAAAAGUCAUUUCAAAAUGGGUGAAUAACAUAUUUUCCCGAUUAUGUCAAAGCUGACCGAACUAUGCAGGUUUAAUUCUCACCGAAUGUGAGAUACGUAGGCAACCUACAUAGGGUUCGGCCUCACUUUUGCAAAAAUAACCAAAAAUAAAAUAAAUAUGUCCAGUGCUUUAUUCAAAGGAAUAAGCCGACCCAGCUUCAGUUGCGUAUUGAUCCAUUUUUCCCGGAACAGCUUUAGAACAUCUUCAAAUUGUUCAAGGGCUAUUCUCGCAAAGAAUGGGCGUGUCUGUCAAUGGGACAUCACUUUUUUCAUAAAGUGCCCUUCUCCGGCCUCAAACUUUAUUUGAAAGUGUGAAGAAGCCAUUGUUGCAAAAAUAGCCAUCCGUUGCUAAUAUUGCAUAACUAGCCACCCUCCUUUGAUUUUUCUUUAAGAGAAUUGAAAACUUGUUUUGCAAAAGAGUCCACUGGAGUCAGCCCUAACCCUAACCAUCUACAGGUACAAAAUGAACACUGUCCAGAAUAUGCCAUUAAUAGUUGUAGAGCAUGCCCCAUUACAGCUUCAAAUGUGGUGGUAUGACUUAGAAAAAGAUGGUCAAGAUUGGAUAACAUAUCAUUUGGGCGCUCUCAUAGACAUCAUGAAUGUUAAACCGCGGGAUGAUUUGAUUAAGGCCUUAGUAACUUUCUGGGAUCCUGUCCACAACGUCUUUCGCUUCUCAAAUUUUGAGCUUACUACCACCUUGGAAGAAAUAGCCAGAUAUGCUGGUUUUGGCCGGGACUUGAGAAAUUAGCAACUUAUAUUCCCAAGGCCUCCCUCUGUGCACCGCUUCUUUGAUCUCUUGAACAUCAGUAAGCAAAUCAGGAAGACCAAUAUAAACAAAGGAUGUUGUUCUUUUUAAUUUCCUGUACUCCAUGUUUGGUCACUCAACUGGGUUUGAAACACAUGAAAAGGGGUUAAACAACAAGCAAAAUAAGAGUACCUGGAAAAUUCAUCGUCGCUUUGCUUUCAUAGUGGCAUUUCUGGGAAUUAUGGUCUUCCCAAAUACAGAAGGGACAACAGAUAUCUGCAUGGCCAGAAUUGCGCAAGUGCUUAUUGCCAAAGAAGAUCACACGUUGGCUCCAGUGAUAUUGGCGGACAUCUAUCGAGCAUUAACAUUGUGUAAGUCCAGGGCUAAGUUUUUUGAAUAUUGUAAUAUUCUUCUGCAAAUGUGGUUGAUCGAGCAUCUCCAUCAUCACCCCAAAUUCAUGAGUUAUGUCCUGAGAAAGAUUAACUUCAUCGGGAGUUAUGAGGAGAGGGUGAGAGAUUACAAUUCGCCAAAAGGGUUUGAGCCUGGAUUUUCCACCUAAGAACUCUAAAGGCAAGCCGGAUUGAAUAGACUUUGGGUUGGCGAUGGGUUUAAGAAGUGUCCAACCAUACGCACCGCAGAGAGUUUUAAGGCAGUUGGGAAGAAGAUAUCAAGUGGUGCCCGAAGAUGAAUAGUUGAGUACCCAAGUCAUUGAGCUACACCUAGAAUCUCAAUUACCUGUGGCUUUAGUCCAACAAGAUUGGAAUGGUUGCCGAUAUAUGAAAGAUGACACCCAGGUACCAGAUCCCGCGAGAGGAGAAGUGGACCCAAAUUAUGCCAUAUGGUUUGAGAGAAGGUCUUGUGCUAAUGAUGAGCCAUAACUAGAGCCCAAGCCCGAAAGUCCCGCCAAAAGACCUCAUGUUCAGGCUUUUGAUGAUAAAAUCUGAGAAAGGUUGGCCUGGGGAGAAAAGGAGAAGAAAUAUCAAGCCACCUUUCAUACCUUAGAAGAAAAUUUGAGAAACGUCUCAUUUAAUAGUGACUUACAUGCGCAAGAAACUGAAAGUGAAAGGAGAAGGUUGACCCGGGAGAACGAGGCGCUCCGAUCCCAACUUCGGGACAUGAGGAUAGCUAUUGAAACGCCUGUGAGGAGCGAGAAGGAUGAAAAACUCAUAAGAAGUUUAAGGUUAAAGGUGCAGGAUUAUUGGUUUAACCUGGCAAAGGUCGAGGAUGAAUUGGAAAAAACUUAGGAAAAAUUGGCAAAGAAUGCAAAAGAACGGACAAGGUUUGCUCAGCAGACAGAGGAGUCACGUUUUUAAAGAAGAAGCUGACUACUCUUGAAAAUGAAAUGGCCCGGCAAACAAAGAAUUUCAAAGUGGAAAGAGAGCAUUGCUAUACAUUGAUGUACCGAUUGGAAGAAGACAGGCAGCAAUUGCAAGAGCAAAACCAUACGGCCAUGCAGGUGUUGGAGGCCCAGUCUCAGCAAAUUGGAUGCCUUGCUCCAAGAGAAGGGUGUCAUUAGAAUGAGGAUUAAAGAAUCGCUGAUUAUGUUGUGAUGAAGUGCCAUAAAUGUAAAGAUAUGACUAGGUCCAUGUUCUUUGCUGCUGUGAUGACCUUUGUCCAUCAGGUAAUGGCUAAUUUAGAGUAACUUCAAGAAGAGACUACACACAGUCUCGCGUCAAGACCGACUGAUGUCCCGCGGGCCCCUGGAGUAGCAUUUGAGGCUCUUAUGUAUUCCUGAUUUUCUUUUGGCUUUGAGUCUGUAUUUCACCUUUUCGAGUAUGUUAGUCUUUUCCAAGUUCGUUGUUUUUCUGUUUUGAGUCUGUAUUUUCCCUUUUUUAUCGUCAGUAUUUCCGAGUUAUUGUAAUAGAAAAACCUAAAAAUAUUUUAUUUAAUGAAUUAUUGAAAACCUAAAAUUUUCUUUUCUUUUAUUUUGCAUUUGUUCCCUGAACUAUGUAAUGAUCUGAUUCAUACGGCAUCGUGAUACGUAGGGAAUCUUCACCAAAUUCAAUCAUAGCAAUAGACAAUCUGAGUGAAAGAAUAAACCAGACACAAAAAAGGAAAAAAAGAAAAUUUGAGUGAAAAAGAAAGAUUGAAAAAAAAAUAGGAGUGAAAAAUAGCAAAAGAGAAAGGAAAAGAAAUUAGGAUUUGAAAUCUGAGAAAAGAAAUAGCAAAGUCGGGAUGAAACACACAGCCGUUGCAAAACAUUUAGAAAUGUUUAACUGUUCAGAUGCAUUGCAUCCCCAAUAUGUGAUUUCUCUAUCUAUUAAAUGUCUCAAACUAACCAGUCUGUUGUGUGUGCAAAUUAUAUAGUGCCUGUUUCAGGUGGUUGGUUUUGUGGUAAUCUGGCUUUCCAUCCUUACUUCACAAGAUCUAAAGGCAGUGCUCCUAUGGCUUCUGAAAGUCAUCUACCAAUGAUUGAACCUGAGGAUAGCCCGGUAUCAUCUAUCCCACAGUAAGAAUCAGCAACUACUGAAGAAAACAUAAGGUUGCGUUGCCGUAUGUUAGAUAUGUGGGACGCUUGGUCUAAUGGCAAAGAACUGCCCAGUACGAUCCCUGGAUUUCCUGAACUACUUCCUAGAACAAGCGAAACCUCCAAUGUCCCCAUUCCCGUAACCAACACAUUCAUCCCGUUUGGGUACCCCACCAUAUCAGCUAAUUUCAUCGGUAUUCCUUCUGAGGUUCGCCCUCAUGCACCAUUUUCGGGAGUAUCUUCUACAGUAUUCACCGUGCCACCAGUAUCCAAUACGGCAUAACCAACAGUGCCUAGGCCAUGCUUCGAACCGUCAGCCUUCAUUUUUCAAGUACCACAAUUUUAGCUAGACACAACCCAUGUCACCCCAAACUCCUAUCCUUAACACCUGUAAUACGAGUCUCUAGUGGAAUAGAAAAGAACGGCAAAAAACCCCGAGCAAGAAGAAAUGGCCCGGAAGAUGAAAAGUCUCGAACAAAUUCUAAAGAACAUGCAAGACCUGAGUGGCCAAAAGAGUAUUUUGUACUCUGAUCUGUGCAUGUUUCCUCAUGUUCAUUUGCCAGUUGACUUUAAAACGCCAAAAUUUGAGAAAUACAACGGGCAUGUAGACACGAUCGCUUAUUUGAAAAGAUAUUACAAUUAGUUGAGAGGGGCGGGUGGAAAAGAAGAACUUUUGAUGGCCUAUUUCGGGGAGAGCUUGAUGGGAACUGCGUCAGAAUGGUACAUGGACCAGGACAUCUCCCAUUGGCAUAUAUGGGUCAACUUGGCCCGAGAUUUCAUCAGGAAAUUUCAAUACAAUGUUGAUAUAGCCCCAGAUAGGAAUUCCCUGACCAAUUUCAAGAAGAAAACUGCGGAAAGUUUCCGUGAAUAUGCUAUCAAGUGGCGUGAGCAAAUAGCUCGAGUGAAACCACCAACGAAUAAGAUAGAAAUGGUAAGUGUUUUCUUAUAGGCCCAAGAGGCCGAUUACUUUCAGAACAUGAUGUCUGUUAUGGGCAAACCAUUUACGGAGGCCAUAAAAAUUGGAUAAAUGGUAGAAAACGACCUGAAAACAGGCCGGAUCAUAAGUCAAUCUGCUUUAAGAAGAAGAGGGAAGAAGGAGCCAUGAUGGCUUCAAGUUCGAGAAUCUCUUGUCAUUCCCGUGAUUAUUCUUACUCGCCUUCCAGAACCCCACAAAACUACUACUCCCAUCAAGAUGCAGCAUAUGUCGUGGCAUCGCCUCCCUAUGAGGUGAUGAAUGCCCAAUGCUAUACAUGGCCACAACAACACUACAAUCAAAAUAGAUCUCCACCUCCAAGAAAUAACCAUCCUCACCAAGCUCCAUAUAACCUUGUCCACCACAGAACAACUACCAACAUAAUACAUGCCCCCGUGAGCCUCCCAGGAAAAGCAACUUCACCCCUAUUGGUGAAUCCUACUCUAGCCAUUUUCCUAAAUUAAUCCAGAUGGGCCUACUGCAACCUGUGCCUCAAAACCAUCAAAAUCCAGAAUCUCCAUCACACCGUCCCGGUACCAGGUGUGCCUAUCAUUUGGGGGAAGAGGGUCAUGAUAUAGAGGAUUGUUGGACUCUCAAGAGGGCGGUUGAGAAUUUGAUAGAACAAAGACGAGUGGUGCUGAGGGACGAGAACGUCCCCAAUAUGACUAACAAUCCAUUAUCGGCUCACAAAAAUGGGCCGAUCAUUGAAAUGAUUUGUUAUGAUAAAGAGUUUGAUCCACCUUUGAAAGCCAUCAUUGCCAUUGUCGGUUCAGAUGCAAUACCCAAAGCGGCGGCGAAAUAAGUCAAAAAUGAGAAGAAGAUCACUCCAACCCCUCAAGUUGUAGAAAAAGCUGUGGAAACAAAAACUGGGGCAGCACCUACUAAGGACACAAUUCUCUAUAUUCCUAGGGCCCCUAGGAAGGAACAACUCAUGUUGAACGCUCCUAAAAGAUUUGAGCAAAAGAAAGUCACGCUGAAUAUGCCAAAGAUAUAUGUGCCAAAGGGGACUUAUGUGGCGCGGGUGCCGGUAAUUUCACCAAAGCUGACUGAGCCCGUGGUUAUCAGCCUGCACCAUAGAGCCCCAUGAGAAACCCCAUUGCAAUCCCCUGGAAUUACAACAAAACAAUAGUUACUUACAAGGGGAAAGAGAUUAUGGGAGAGGUGAAUGAAAUGAACCAAUCUGGGAGGUACCACCACCCGUAAGAGUUGAAGAAAUCAAAACUAAACAAGUAGAAAGGGUUUCCACCCAAGAAGCCUUUGAGCGCUGAAGAAGCAGAAGAGUUUUUCCGAAAAAUGAUAACUUCGGAAUAUGCCAUAAUUGAUCAAUUCAGGAAGACCCCUUCCCAGGUUUUGCUUUUAUCCCUGUUGUUGAGCUCAAAUGAACAUCAGAAGGUACUCUUGAAAACAUUGAACGAGGCAUAUGUCCCGAUUGAAACUUCAGUAGAACAAUUGGAAAGAAUGGCUGAACGUUUCUUCGAAGUCAACAAGAUUUCUUUCAGCCGUGAUGACUUGCCCCUGGAGGGAGCCACCCACAACAAAGUCCUUCACUUGACUGUCAAAUGCGAAGGUUAUUAUGUGAAGAGGGUCAUGCUAUAUGGUGGGUCCAGGGUCUAAGUUUGCCCUUUCUCAAUGCUUCAGAGGAUGGAAAUUGGAACAGAAAUAAUUCAACCACAUAAUGUCUAUGUGCGCGCUUUUGAUGGAGUCAAGCAAGACACAAUAGGGGAAAUUGAUUUGAUUCUGACCAUUGGUCCUGUGGAUUUCGAAGUGACUUUCCAGGUUCUGAAUAUGGAUACUUCGUAUAAUUUUCUCCUAGAAAAACCAUGGAUACACGUUGUAGGGGUUGUGCCCUCCACUCUCCACCAAAUGGUCAAUAUUGAACAUGAAAACUAAUAAAUUGUCGUCCACGAGGAGGAUGAACAGUCCAUUUACAGGGACCCGUCAGUCUCACAUCUCAAAGCUAGAGAAGGAAGUGAGCACAUUGUCUAUCAAGCCUUCGAACUUGUGGUCGUCGACCAAUGUGAAGAAGGGGACCCAUUUCCUCAACCUUGCUUAUCAAAUGCAUCAGUCAUGAUAGUUAGUGAAAUGAUUAAACAUGGGUACAAGCCUGGGAAAGGGCUCUGGGUAUCUCCACAAUGCAUCACAGAGGCCAUCACUUGGACUGUCAAUAAGAAGUUCUUCAGCGUAGGUUUCCAAGCUACAAAUGCCAACAUAAAAUGGGCUGAUGAGCUCAAGAAAAAUGGAUGGGUCCUGCCUCAGCCCGUUUCGCAUCUCGCCAAGUCAUUUGUUAAACCCAAGUAUAGAGAAGAAGAGGAAGAUGAAGCCUUCACGGCCGAGGAUAUUGAGGAUAUUUGUGAAACAAUAAAACGAAUGUUGUACGAGUCCCGCAUGGUCCAGCCGGGGGAAGGCACGAGCAUUGCUGAGGUGCUGUACAUAGGACCAAAUGCCAAGCUUCAGAAUUUGAAGGCUACUCCAUUCCCUGUCAGACAGGAGUCCCGGUAGUCCAGUCUUGCCAUCUUUUCUACAUUAUGAGUUAUUUCAGGGUGUAACUCGAAUGCUUUUAUUUUAUUGUCUUUUGAUUUCGAUGUAAACCCUCAUAUCUUCAAAUUCAAUGAAAUGAAAUCAAUAUUUCAUCGUCAAUAGGUGUCUCCUUUUUUGUUAUUCUGAUUUUGUUAUUUUUCUUAUCUUUUUCUUUUUGGUUCUAAUAAUGCGGACUUAAAUAACAUGACAUACUUGCAGACUUCAUGCCCAGAUCCUAAAACGUUGUCUAACUGUGAAAUAAUGAAUCAAGAACCGGAAUAUGAUGAAGAUGAGGCUUUUAGGGAAAUAAAUCGAGAAUUGGAACAAUUUGAGAAUAAGCCUCAGCCAAACUUAAAUGAAACCGAGCUAGUUAAUUUGGGCAGUCCAGAAGAGGUUCAGAAAACCAUGAUAAAUAUUCACAUUGAUGAAAGAACUAGAGAUGCAAUGAUCCAAUUGUUGUUUGAAUUCAAAGAUGUGUUUGCAUGGUCCUAUGAUUAUAUGCCAGGACUGAGUGUUGAUUUGGUAGUACACACAUUGCCAACUUAUCCCGAUUAUCCACCUGUCCAACAAAAGCAAAGAAAGUUCAAAACGUAUAUCAAAUAUAAGAUCAAAGACGAAGUCACCAAACAAUUGAAAGUUGGCAUGAUCCAAGUGGUACGAUACACCACAUGGUUGAUUAAUGUGGUCCCAGUGCCGAAAAAAGACGAGAAAACCCGAGUGUGUGUUGAUUAUCGGGAUUUGAACAAAGCAAGCCCCAAGGACAACUUUCCAUUGCCAAAUAUCCAUAUUCUUGUUGAAAACUAUGCCAAACACGAGAUAUAGUCUUUCGUGGAUUGUUAUGCUGGGUACCAUCAGGUUUUGAUGGAUGAAGAAGAUGCAGAAAUGACGACUUUCACCAUACCUUAGGGAACUUACUAUUAUAGGGUCAUGCCAUUUGGUUUGAAGAACGUCGGGGCAACUUACAUGAGAGCUAUGAUUUCCAUCUUCCAUGACAUGAUGCACAAGGAAAUUGAGGUGUAUGUGAAUGAUGUGAUCAUUAAAUGCAGAACGCAUGAAGGCCAUGUGCGAGAUUUGAGAAAGUUCUUUGAGCGUCUGCGCUAGUAUGACUUGAAAUUGAAUCCAGCAAAAUGUGCAUUCAGAGUUCCAUCUGGGAAACUUCUGGGGCUUAUAGUCAGCCAGAGGGGUAUCGAGCUAGAUCCAACAAAGAUAAAGUAUAUUUGAGAUUUUCCACCUCCGAGAACAAAGAAAGAGGUCAUGAGUCUGCUAGGAAGAUUGAAUUACAUCAGCAGGUUCAUUGCUCAGCUGACUACCAUGUGUGAGCCUGUAUUUAAGCUGUUGAAGAAAGAUGUGUCUAUCAGAUGGACGGAUGAGUGUCAAGAAACUUUCGACAAAAUCAAAGAAUAUCUGUCAAAUCCACCAGUGUUGGUUCCGCCCGAGCUUAAGAGACCUUUGUUCUUAUACCUGACAGUCUUGGAAAAUUCUUUUGGUUGUGUCCUAAGGCAACAUGAUGUAACCGGGAAGAGAGAGCAAGCCAUAUACUAUAUGAGUAAGAAGUUCACCAAUUAUAAAGCCAAGUACACCUUAUUGGAAAGAACUUGUUGCGCCCUAACUUGGGUCGCCCAAAAGCUUAGACAUUAUCUGUUGGCCUACACCACAUAUCUCAUAACCAGAAUGGAUCCUCUAAAGUACAUAUUCCAAAAACCAAUGCCCACAGGAAGGGUAGCAGAAUGGAAAGUGCUGCUCACUGAGUUUGACAUUGUCUAUGUCACUUGCACGACGACGAAAGCUCAAGCCUUGGCGGAUCAUCUAGCUGAGAAUCUGGUUGAUGAUGAAUACCAACCCCUAGGUACAUAAUUUCCGGAUGAGGAAGUAAAUUCAGUUGAAGUAAUUCCAAAAGACAUCAAUGCUUGGAAAAUUUUCUUUUACGGAGCUGUAAAUGCAAAAGGUGUCGGGAUUGGGGAAAUUUUGAUUUUGCCCACUAGUCAGCACUAUAUGGCCAUAGCCCGACUUUGGUUCUUUUGUACAAACAAUACUGCUGAAUUGAAGCCUGCAUUAUGGAUAUGAAUAUAGUAGUUGACAUGGAUGUGGAAGAAUUGUUAAUCAUGGGAGAUUUUGACUUAAUUAUUCGGCAAGCUCAAGGUGAAUGGGAAACUCGAGACAUCAAGCUUAUCCCAUACAGGCAACAUAUGAAAGAUCUUAGAAAAUAGUUCAAGUCCGUCAAGUUCAAGUAUAUUCCUCGAUUCCAUAAUGAGUUAGCUGAUGCACUAGCUACUUUGGCCUCAAUGUGGCUGUAUCCGGGCAAUGUCCAUAUUGACCCGCUGGAAAUCCAAUUUCGAGAAAGACAUGGUUAUUGUAAUGCAAUUGAAACAGAACCAGAUGUUUAGCCAUGGUACCAUGACAUCAAAAGAUUUUUGAAAACAAAGGAAUAGCCCGAGAAGGCCAGUGGAGAUCAAAAGAGAACUAUUAGGAGGCUUGCCAGCAGUUUCUUCUUGAGCGGAGAAGUCUUGUACAAAAGAACUCCAAAUCUGAAUCUUUUUGAGGUGUGUAGAUGCCCAAGAAGCUGAAAAGAUCAUGAACGAAGUGCAUUCAGGAGUAUGUGGGCCCCACAUGAACGGAUAUGCCAUUGCAAAGAAAAUCCUUCAGGUAGGUUAUUACUGGGUGACCAUGGAAACGGAUUGCUUCAGCUUUGUCUAGAAGUGCCAUUAGUGUCAGAUACACGGUGACCUGAUUCAUGCACCACCUUCAGAGUUGCAUCCUAUGUCAGCACCUUGGCUAUUCGUUGCUUGGGCUAUGGAUGUCAUUGGGCCAAUCGAGCCGAAAGCUUCAAAUGGGCACAGAUUCAUCUUGGUUGCCAUUGAUUAUUUCACAAAGUGGGUCGAAGCAGCCACUUUCAAAGCCGUCACCAAGAAAAUGGAGGUGGACUUUGUGCAUUCCAAUAUUAUUUGUCAUUUGGUAUUAUCACGACCUAAACCGAUGGGCCACAACGGGCACUCGGUACCUUACUCAACCGAGUACCGACAUAACGUAUCUUUUCGUAUCAUGUCAUCAUAGGUAAAUGAGACGGAAAGGCUACUGUAGGAUAACUAGAAUAAUACAUGUAAUACCAACUUAUACAUAACACAUAUGGGCCUAUACAACCAAAAUAAUCACUCGUAUACUAAACAUAGGCCGACAAGGCCAUACAAACUUUCACGUACAUGACAUCUGUCUACAAGCCUCUAAGAAUAUAUAAUAUCAUAAAGGUUAGAACAGGGUCCCGCCAUUCCAAUUAAUACAUGUACUAAUCAUACUGACCAAAGAAGCAACUCCGGAGCAAAUGGAGUGCACCAACAUCUUUCGCGGAGCUGAUAACCUACUUGGAGGACUCUCGAUCUGUCUAUCGGGAUCUGCGGGCAUGAAAUGCAACGUCCCCAUGCAAAAAGAAUAUCAGUACGAAUAAUGUACCAAAUAUGUAAGGACAUAAGUAAGUACAUAAAAGACAUGGAAGAAAUAUAGAGUAAAUGACUCAACCUGUAAGUCUGGAUAACUCUGUAAAUCGUGAAAUACUUAUAGUGUCAUGCAUAUGUGUAUGAAUGUCAUGUCGUGCAUAGGUACAUGUAUUCAUAACAUCAUCAAGCCUCUGAGGGCAUCCUAUCAUAUCAUCCCGACCACUGUGGACAAAAUCAUCAAUGUAUACCAGCUGAUCAGGUGGUGGUGCGUAUAUAACGCUGAACCUUUUCCCAUAUCCCAUAUAUAUAUAUAUAUAUAUAUAUAUAUAUAUAUAUAUAUAUAUAUAUAUAUAUAUAUAUAUAUAUAUAUAUGUGUGUGUGUGUGUGUGUGCAUAUAACUUCGUCUAGGUAUGUGUCAAUGUACAUGUAUAAAUGAAUGCAAUGCAUGAGAAGUACGUUAAUAAAACCUCUCGAAAUGUCAAAAGAUCAUUAUACCUCUGAUUAAUGUCAUGAAACAAACUUUAUCAACUUGCGUAUUUGUGAGACUCAUGAAUAGAUGAUAGAAUAAUAAGACAUGGAAUUCAAGAACAUAGACAUCUCUAAUACUUCUAUGAAUAGAGUCAUUUAUGAAAUUUGUGCUUUUCUCGUUUCGUUCUUGUCGUAUAGAUCAUGCCAAAAAGAAAGAAGGGAUAGCCUUAACAUACCUGAGUCGAUUCUCUUAACAAUCCUCUAACACACGUUAAUUGUGACAAAACACAGAACAAGUUGUAUAAAAAGCUCGAAGCAAUAACGUUGCUUAUGCAAAGACCAUCUUGGCUGAAAUUUUUCCUUAAGUGAUUAGAAUUAACGUAACUUUGAAAUGGGAAGCUUGAAUUAAUCUCUUAGAAAUGAUGUUACUAAGGUAUGGAAAAUUUUGUUUAAAUUCUGAGAGAUUAUAAUUGUCAUUCAUAACAAAAACUUUAAGAGGGUUUACAUUACUGAAGUUUAUGAAAAAUGUUUGUGAGAAUUUUUUCAUAAGACAUUGUAGUUAUUAUUCAAUUCUUUGUAGAUGGCCCCACAAUUAAGCUUGGUGUCAGACUUCUUUCUCAAAAUGUGACACCUUACAAUAUUUAAUGCUUAGUCAUUUAAGUGUAAAUGAUGAUUGCCACGUUGGGGAAGGGUUAAAUCUUAUUCCACUUUUUAUUUAAUUACCUAAUAAUUAAUCAAUUACCCACAUAAUUAAGAAUUUUCUCAAAUUACUCAAAAUACUACUCACUUUUAACAUACCUUGUACACCUUAUUAUCAUGGUCAUAUAGUACCUUGUAUGACACACAAAUACCGGGUAUUAUAGCUCGGAUCAUAUUUUAUCCCAAAUUGUCAAGCUUCACAAAACUCAUUUUCUUCGAUUUGCUUACCCUCAUACCUUUACAAAUUUACUUAUCCCUUGUUUAAAAUAGCAUAAUACUUGUUACCUCAAAAUAAUCCCAUUCCCGAGCUUGCGUCGAUUAACUUUACGAUGAAACCUUAACGUCCAAAAAUGCGGGAUGUAACAUCUCAUUCCUGAGCUUUCAUCAAUUCACUUAUAGCAUACUUUCAUGUACGGAAACAUGGGGUGUAACAGGUAUUCCUAAAACUAUCAUUACUGACAAUGCUACAAACUUGAACAACCACUUGAUAAGGGAGGUAUGCGAAAAAUUUAAGAUUACGCAUUGGAAUUCUACCCCUUAUCGGCCCAAAGCUAAUGGUGUUGUUGAAGGUGCAAACAACAACAUCAAGAAAAUCCUCAGGAAAAUGAUUCAAAGUUCUAGACAGUGGCAUGAAAAGUUGCUUUUGCAUUAUUAGGAUAUCGCACAACCGUGCGCAUAUCAGUUGGGGCCACACUCUAUCUAUUGGUUUAUGGUACUGAAGCCAUAAUACCUGUAGCAGUUCAGAUUCUUUCCUUUUGAAUCAUUGUUGAAGCUGAUAUCGAGGAUGAUGAAUGGGUCAAGACCUAGUUGGAAUAAUUAACUAUGAUUGAUGAAAAGUGGAUGGCCGCAGUUUGCCAUGGGCAAGUGUACUAACAAAGAAUGACUCGUGCCUAUAACAAGAAAGUGCGGCCUAGGAACUUUGAAGUGGGGCAACUCAUUUUGAGAUGUAUUCUCCCACAUCAUGAAGAAGUAAAAGGAAAAUUUGCUCCAAAUUGGAAAGGUCCUUACGUUAUAAGAAGAGUGUUGCCAAGAUGAGCGUUGUACUUGGGAGACAUUGAAGGAAAUGAUCCUGAAACAGCUGUCAAUACAGAUGCGGUCAAGAGGAUUUAUGUUUGACCCUUUUCGCAACUUUAAUACACUCCGAUUGGGAUGGAGAAGGAUUUCAUUCUCGCUACCCAAACACUACUACUCCUUGCAAACCCUUUGACCUGGUUCCCUUUUUCUUUGAUUACUCUCUUUGGAACCUGAAAGUUAUGUUAUACAAAAAAAUGAUGAAAAGAGAAAAAAAGAAAAUAAAAAAAAAGUUUCUUGAACUACGUUCGACUUGAUUCUGAAAAGAUACGUAGGCAGCCUCUGUCUAGAGUUCAGUCAAACCAAAACAAAAAUUCAAAUUCCCCCAAAAGUGAAAUUGGGGCAGAUGUUAUAAUAUUUCGGCAAUGGUUUCACUUGAAAGGUUCUAAAAGUUGUAAUAAAGUCCAAAUUCUUUUUACCCAAAUUCUUUUCAAGUCCUUCCGAUCAAUCGGCAAGAAUGUUCAAGAAUUGGAGGAUACAAUCACUUGGAUCUGAUACAAUCAAAAUGAGAGAAAUAAAAUGAGAGAGUCUUAGUGAAAACCCUCACGGGCGCCGUAAGGCGAUGGUAAAAAUGAUGAAAAUUAAAACAAAUAAAAAAGAAGAAGAAAGAAAGAAAAGGAAGAAAGUCAAAAUCAUGGUAGUAUAGGGUCUCCAAUCCCUAGCUGCAUUUUCCAACAUGGGGUCUCCACUCCCUAGUUGAUUUUAUUUUAGAUAUAGAGUCUCCACUCCCUAGUCGUUUUUCCAACAUAGGGUCUCCACUCCCUAGUUGAUUUUGUUUUAGACAUAGGUCUCCACUCCCUAGUUGUUUUUCCAAAACAGGGUCUUCACUCCCUAGUCGCUUUUCCAACAUAGGGUCUCCAUUCCCUAGUUGAUAAUUUUUCAACAUAGGGUCUCCACUCCCUAGUUGAUGCUAACAUAGGGUCUCUACUCCCUAGUUGAUGAUUUUCCAACAUAGGGUCUCCACUCCCUAGUUGAUGAUUUUCCAAUAUAGGAUCUUCACUCCCUAGUUGAUGCUAACAUAGAGUCUCCACUCCCUAGUUGAUGAUUUUCCAACAUAGGGUCUCCAUUCCCUAGUUGAUGCCAACAUAGAGUCUCUAAUCCCUAGUUGAUGAUUUUCCAACAUAGGGUCUCCAUUCCCCAGUUGAUGCCAACAUAGGGUCUCCACUCCCUAGUUAAUGAUUUUCCAACAUAGGGUCCCCACUCCCUAGUUGAGGCCAACAUAGGGUCUCCACUCCCCAGUUGAUGAUUUUACAACAUAUGGUCUCUACUCUUUAGUUGAUGAUUUUUAGACAUAGGGUCUCCACUCCCUAAUCUCUGUUUUCCCAAGGGUACACAAUCCCGACCUUUUAUUUGCUUUCAAUAAUGAAGUAGUAUAGAGUUUUAUUACGAAUAACUCAUGAAUUUUCCUAGUAAAAACUAGGGAAGAAAAAUUUCGUUCAUUCAUUUGUUUUGGUGCCUGAGCAAGUUAUACCUCGAGACACAGGGUUUGAGAUAAUCAAGAGAAGUCUUAAUCCAAAAUAAAGAAAAGAAAAGAAGUGAAUCCAAAGUGCAGAAGCGGAGAAAAGAUGUUGGACUGCUCAAGACCUGACUGAAGUCACAAUCUUUGCAUGUCCCGUCUUGAUCCGAAAAAGUCGUAGAAGAAUGAACUAGCACCUGCAGCUGGCAAGCAUCAAGAUUCAGGUCAGAGUCUGCGAGGGGAACCAGCCAAGACUCAAGAUCAAGCUUCAGAAGACUUAUAGAUAUGAAUCUUGUAACUCAUAGCUGAUAGGCUUAGUUAGUAUUUUUCAUUUAUGACUUUGGUGUAAUAAGGAUCUCAUCAAGCAGUAAUAGCAACAAUAGCAGUGAAUUCACAACCUCUUGGUAGUCCCAACUACUAAAACUUCCAGAACUACACUAACCUGAUUCCUUUACAACCAAGGAUAUGUAGGAAACCUCCGAAGUAAGGUUCAGUCAAAUUUUUUCAAAAUGCUUCCCAUGGAGUAUCCAAACGGAAAAAAAUUGCUCAUAAUUAUUCACUUUAUCUUUGCCUGAAAACCCUUCGUGUUUUCGAGCAAAGAGCCAGCUUUGAACACGUGAUUUUUUUUCGAACUAAAAUAUUCCUACAUGAUUCACAAAAUAUGAUUUUUUUAAUUAUUUUAAUUUUUUGUAGAAUUUUUAGGAAUUUCUUGCUACUUGUUGUUUGCAUGUAGUUGCAUGUUUAAUAUUUUAAAAUUGCAAGAAAUACCACAAAAUGUCAAAAAGUUUCAUGCAUUGCAUUUUAGUUUUCUAUUUGCAAUAAGUUGUUAAUUAAUUGUAUUAUUAAAUAAAAAAAUCAUAAAUAUUGGUCAUUUUUACAUUUGUAGUUUUAGUUUUAAAUUAGUAAUUUUCUUUCGUUAUUUUUAAGUUAAAUUAAUUGUUAAAAUAUUAGAAAUAUUUAAUUAAGUUUAUUUCACAAAUUAGAUUUGAUUUAGGACCUAAGUUAGGUUUUAAAAUAAAAGAAAAAGAAAAGAAGAAGGAAAAAAAACAAAGAAAAGGAAAAGGGGGUGGUUUGGGCCAGCCUAAUUUUUUUUAAAACAAAAAAUCCACCCCAGCCCAAUUCCCACUACCCAAAAAUCUUGUCCAACCCCUCACUAAUUCAAACGAUGUCAUUUGGCGUGUUUUGAUAUGGUUCGUUCAAAUUCUCCAAUCCUACGGCCUAGAACUAACUCCCCAAAUCCUUAAAAAUGUCAAAAAACCCCUGAUAAGUAGAGAUUUUGACUGCUUAUUUCCUCUCUUUACUUGCGUUUUAGCUCAAAAUGCUUAAAGAUAUUCCCGAAAACUAACAAAAUGUGCUUACAUGCAGGAUUGUUGGAAAACGAGCCAAAUAAGUCAAAAUUAACUCAUAAAGGAGACAAAAGUGAACAAGAGCCAAAACUGGACAAAGAGGCCAGCAGUGCGGCCGCAGAAUGAGAUUUAAAGAGGUGGUUAUUGACAACUUAGACAGUGCGGACUGCACAAAAACUAUGCGGCCGCAAUCAUUAUUAUGCGGUUCGCAAGAUUGAAGAAUUAGAGAAUUGAUCAAAGUCCAAAAGCUGAAGAGUGUGGGCCGCAUCACUUUUGUGUGGCCGCAAAAUCCAUGCGGUCGCAAUCACUUUUAUACAGACCGCAGAAGACCUCAAGUUCCAGUCCCAAUUUCACAGGUGUGCGGACCGCACCAGAAUUGUGCGGCUGCAUAAGGCCAUUUUGCGGUCCGCAUCAGAAUUAUGCCGCCGCAUAACCUCCGUAGGGGUAUUUUUAUCAGAUAUUUUCAGCUUAGUAUAAAUAUAACUUUUUAUCAUUUUUAGGUUAAAUUUUGUUUGCAGGGGUGCACCUAAAUGUUUUUCUUUACUUCUUUGAGUAAAAUUGUAUUAGAUUGAUCUCUUAACAUUAGUUUUUCUUUGUUUAAUCUAUGAUUAUGCAUUCUACCUUAAUUUCUUUUUGUAUUUCUUUAUUUUCUAUGAGUAGCUAGAUCUUUAGCUAGGGUUGUGACCCAACCCUAGUGUAGGUACUUAAUGAGUAUUUAAUUUUAGGGCUUGUUUGUGAUUGAGUUAGUGAUAUCUAGCCUUGUUUAUGCUUAAAUUAUAGAAUUAAUGGUUGCAAACAUUGAUUCAUGCCUUUUUGACCUAGUCUUUGCUUGAGAAAGAGAGACUAGGUUUAGGAAAAAUUGGCUAACAAGGAAUUGGGGUGAAUUCAAGAAAUUGAUAGCCCCAAUUAAAUGGUCAAAUCUAGAGAUAGUAAGACCUGACUUGAGCAUAUAUCACUUGAUUUGUGCAAAUAUCCACUUGGGCUUGAGAAAGCCAGAUCAGGCAAAAUCACUCAAACUACCGAGAUGUAUAGAGUGAGCAACUGCGUGUAUUUGCUAUACCUCAAAUCCAAUAAAUUAAACUUGUCCUAUAGUUUACAACCCGUUAGGAAGCCACCUAGGUAGAAGUCACGACCCUAGAUUCCUUUAUCAGUUAAAAAAUAACUCUAAACCCAAACUAUUGCCCUUUAGUUUUAUCUUCACAUUCAAUAGAGUAAAGUAGAAGUAGUACACCAAUCAAUAUUGUAGAAGUACAAUUUAAGCCAAAACUUGCAAUCAACUUAGAUAUACACCUAAUCCUAUAUUCUAACUCCCUGUGGAUUCGAUCCCGACCUUUGUUGAGUUAUUAUUGCGUCGACCGCAUCGCUACUAAUUGUGGUGUGGAUUUAGCCGAGAUCACCCCCCAAACCCUAAAGACCACUCCCAUAAAUCUCUCUCUCACCCCUGUCUCUCACCACCUUCCGUCGCGGACCAGAAAUCGCCUAUGGUGGCGGCGACACCCCAAACUACCCCAAAAUUACACCACACACUCCCCAUCUUCCUCUCAACCCUAAUCCAUCACCAAUUUUUCCAAAAUCUCCACCAAUAUUCUCCAAUUUUAAAUCUCAGAAAUGCUAAAACCCAAAUUUUUCUCUUUUUAAUUUGUGAGCAAAUUCACCCGUUUUGACUAAAGAUUUAUAUUUGUCAAUUGUUCUUGACAAGAACAAUUGGUUAAUGUUGGUCUUGGGUCAUUCGAAGUUUAUCGGAUUCCAGCCAAGUCACCACUGACCAGCCAAGCUUCGUCGCCAUCGUCGUUCGUUGAUACACAUCAUUUGUCCACUCAUUUUUGGCAAAAUCAGUAUAUUUUCCCUUUGGUGAAAUAUAUAAAUGGACCCUUUAAGUUGUUCCCAAUGACUAGACAAAUACUUCAACUGACCCCUUUGCCAUUUAGACACUUCAAGAGGUUAUUAAGUAUGUCAAGUAAAUACAUGUUGCUUAUGUGGCAUGUGCGUGUUUGCUACCAACAUUUUGGGCGCGUGAAGUCAUUUUGCAAGCUCAACACAAGCUCAAAUAGCAGCUUCCAUGGAGACGGAUUGUAACAAUGGCUGCUCGACCAAUAUCUUCAAUUUGCACAAUUCCAACAUUAGAACAAAAAGCAAGUUAAUCCAAACUAACACCUGAUUACAGUAUAGUAAUGCCUUCUCGUUAACAGAUUUAAUCUGGAAGUCAAUCCAAUUAUUUUGAUCUGAAAAUUGGAGGCCAAAUCGAUUAAAUGUUCAAAAUCUUUAUUGAAAGCUUCUUUGUGAAGCGAAAUCUACAGAUUAAGGAUGAUUGCAGCUUAUUCAAUAAGCUUUGGUUCGAAGUUUUUGAAGUUUGUUCGAAGAAGUCAAAAUUUUUGGGUCUAUUCAAAGUCUAUUCGAAGAAGAUAGGUUUGUUCGAUUUUUUUAGGUCUGCUCAAAUUUUCUCGAUGAAGUCUGUUCGACCACUGAUGCUGGGUUUGUUUAGAUUCUGUUGAAGAAGAUAAAAUUUCUAAAAUUGAGUUUGAAGAAUCAUAGCCUACCCUUCAUCCCUACUCCUCAAAGUGUAGCCAAUUCCAGCUGCUUUUAAUAUUUUGGGAUUGAUUUGAGAAAUGCCAUUGGGGACGCGGAUGGGAAAGCAAGAUGAUUUUUUUUUGGGGGGGGGGGUGGAGAUUGGCGUUGGUUUGCAAAAGUUUUUUUCCUUUAAAUGUAUUUUUUUUAUAAUUAUAUGUAUCAAAUAUUUAUUACAAAUUACAUGUGUCAUUCUUUUAUUGGUUUAUUUACUACAUCACUAGUAAGUGUAACUUACGCAAAUGUUUUGCUGGGUGGGAGUGCUUACUUGACACACUUAAUAGCUUCUUGAAGUGUCUAAAUGGUAAAGGGGUCAGUUGAAGUGUUUGUCUGAUCAUUGGGGACAACUUAAAUGGGUCGUUUAUGUAUUUUGCCUUUCCCUUUCCCUUUUUUCUUGUAUCUUUUUCUGUUUUUGGGAUCACUAGUCAGGUGUUGAUUAUUGUUUUGAUUAGUUCAAUCAAAAUAGGAUUAUUUAAGUUAAUUUCCUGAUCGAUAGUUUAAUCGCAUGUGUUUAGAUUAAUUGAAUCAAUUUUAAUUAGUUCAGUAAUCUAGUUAGGUGAAUUAGUCGUUUGUUUCUAUGUCAUUUGAUCUUUGAUUUGGUUUUUGAUUUGUUGAUUGCUGAUGUUGAAUGUAAAUUGGAAUCAUAAGGGUUGAAGGGGUAAUAAUAAAAACCUUAAGGGGGCUAAAAGAAAUAAGAAAAUGAAGGAUUUUGUCGGUUUAGCUGUUGAGAAAGUUCUAGAACAGAGAUAAGAGACUAAAAUAUAAUAAAACAACAUUAGAUCAGAUUUUGGGGUUAUAAGGGUUAAAAUGAGAAGUAAGAGGGUUGAAAAAAUAUGAGUAAAUAUCUAAAUGGACAGAUGUCCCAGCAGCUGUCCAUUUUCUAUUAAAAAGAUAUUUCCCCCCUAAAUUUUAGGGACUGCAUUUGUCAGAUUAUUCCCUCACCCUUUGCCUAUAUAAGAGGCCUCAUAGUCCCUUCACUUGACACAAUUCACACACGGAAAACACUCUCUACACUUCAGAAUUUUUCUUUCAUUUUUACACUGAUUUUUGCAUUUAAAAAGGAAGGAUGCAGAACUUUCUAAAUUUUACACUCACUCACACAAAAUUCAGAAGUUCUAGUUUUCUUUUAACCCUUGGUCUUCUUAAGUUGGUUCUUGAGCUGAAGUUGAAGUUCAUUUCUGGAGUUUCUUCAUUGCUGUUUUUCCUGCUUACCUGUUGCUUCUUUUUCUAAGUAUGCUGAGUUUCCUCCUUUGGUUUCCUAACCUUUAUUUGGUCUCAGUUUGUGAUUUCUGCUUUAGGUAUGUUAAUUUUCACUCAGAUUAUAAAUGAAGAUUUAAAUGUUUGUCUCCAUGGCUAUAUUCAAUCUCAUGCCUUAUCUUUAAGGUAUAUUGUCAUAUAUGCCCUAUCUCUGCCUUUCUUUUAGUGAUUAUUUAUGUUUAUUUGUUGUUUCCUAGAAAAAAUAAAAUAAUUAUUAGUUGUUCUAUGUUUCGAAGAAUGUAUGAGAUAUGAUUAAGUAUGUUGAAACUUGAUUCUAAUCUAUAUGUUGUUUUCAAUUAGAAUGGUAGCUUUGUCUAUUUUGGCCAUCUCAAGUUUAAAGCUACUCAUUUUCAGAAUUUGAACUUGAUUCUUACGAAUAGAUAAAGGGCAGGAGACUACUGAAGCCAGUAGGAAGAUUUAUUAUGAAUGUUUGGUGGUAUAGAGAUUUUAGUCAUAGCUCUGAAGUGGAUUACUGUGUUGAAUUUUAGUAAAGAUGCUUACAUAAGUGUUGAUCUGUAUAAAGGAGUCUAUAAACUAACAUAAUUCAUCUUGUUUUUAUAUUCACCUUCAGUUCUCUUAGAAUAGCAAGCUUUGUAAUAAUUUGUUCUUCAAAACAGUUAUUCUUUCCUCAUUUAUCCGAUUGUUGUAUGAUUUGUUGCAAGACAUCUAUCAGAUGAAGCAUGAAUAGUCUAUUAAUUGAUUACAUGUGAUUUGAAUAUGAGAAUGUUUGUUUAUAUGGUAAAUUGGGCUCCAAAUGAGCCUACUUAGUAGACAGUUGAAUAUUCCCUUGUUUUGGGCCCACGCCGGCUCAUGAACGAGAUAAAGCUUAUUUGUUUUAGAGCCAACAUGGAAUAUCUGAUUUCUUUUAUCCAUUAUUGAACGAAAAACUCUAAAUGCCCCUCCCCAGUAAUUCUAAAUUUAUAUUACCAAGCACAUGAAGCAUGGACUGUUCCUCCUUUUUUCCAAAAACUGUGCAAUUUUUAGCAUUUCCUAAGCAACAUAUAGCUAAUUCCAGGUUCUAUCCUGAUAGUCUAAAAUCACAUAAUAAAUAACUUAUAGAUUUUACUUUAACCCCGAAUAAAGUAUAGGAGAAUAAACAACUUAUGAACAUCUGUAGAAAUACUUUUAAACACGUAUUUAAUCAAGCUACGUGAUUAUGUACACGAUCGCGUGAUAUGGUUACGGUUUCAAAAUGAAUACUCGUAGAAAUACUUCUAGGCGCGGUUUAAAUUAUUAUUGUGAUUGUGUACACGUUCGCAUGACAUAAUUACGAUUUUCAAAAUUAAAUCGAGGUAUGCGUUCGCGCAACUUUGGCCAAACAACCUUAAUAAUAAUAAAACGCAAUUAAUUGUGUACACGUUCGCAUGACAUGAUUUUAGUGCCCCAAAUAAAAUAGGUUUACAUACAUGUAAUCCGUUUCAAAAUUAAAUCCAUAACGCCAUAAUUAAAAGAGGUAAAAAGGAUAAAUGUACAUAGGUUCUAAAAUGAGUAAUUAAACAAACUAAUUAAUCCAGGUAUGAUUAGAGCGACUGUGCUAAAAUCACGAAACUCGGGAAUGCCUAACACCUUCUCCCGGGUUAACAGAAUUUCUUACCGAGUCUUUUUUGUUCAUGGACCAUAAAUAAGAGUCAAUUUUCUCGAUUUGAGAUUUAAAAUAAACCGGUGACUUGGGAUACAUGAAUAUCCCAAGUGGAGACUCUGAAAUGAAAUAAAUAAUUCCAUUUCGAUAUUAAUGUCACUUUAAUUAGAAAAACUCCCCUACCCCCUACCCCCGAGAAAAAGGAGGUGUGACAACCACAUGUAUAACAAAACCUCGACUGUUAUGACUGCUAACCCUGAAACUGACCAUAUCGAUCUGAGUAACCACCCUGAAAGCUUUGGAGCGGAGGCACACUAAUAGGAGCUAGUGGUGCACUGUAGGCUAGCUGGUCGGAAUAAGACAUAUGAGGGCCACGGCCACUUGAAGCAUUGUGGGAGAUCCUAUUGUUGUAGAUCGUGUUUAUCGUUCGUGUGUGGUUACCAUUGGGAGUCUUGAGACUAGUAUAGAUCUUCUACUUCUCGAUAUGGUAGAUUUUGAUGUUAUCUUGGGUAUGGAUUGACUGUCACCUUAUCACACUAUAUUGGAUUGUCACGCCAAGACAGUGACCUUAGCCUUACCGGGGUUGCCUCGAUUAGAAUGGAAGGGAACUCCUAGCUAUUUUACCAGUAGGGUUAUCUCUUAUAUGAAAGCUCGACAUAUGGUUGAGAAAUGUGUCUAGCUUAUUUAGCUUAUGUUCGCGAUUCUAGAGCGGAGGUUCCUUUGAUUCAGUCUCAGUUGUUCGUGGGUUUCCAGAGGUAUCUUUUUGCAGACCUGCCGGGGAUGGAACCCAAUAGGGAUAUUAACUUCUGUAUUGAUUUGGCUCGGGCACUCAACCCAUUUCUAUUCUGCCAUAUCGUAUGGCCCCGCCAGAGUUGAAAGAAUUGAAGGAGCAGUUAAAAGAUUUGCUUGAUAAGGGCUUCAUUAGACCUAAUGUCUCGCCCUAGGGUGACCGUGUUGUUUGUGAAGAAGAAAGAUGGAUCGAUGAGGAUGUGCAUAGACAACCGGUAGUUGAACAAAGUCACCAUCAAGAACAAGUAUCCAUUACCGAGGAUUAAUGACUUAUUUGAUCAACUUCAGGGUACCAAGGUGUUUUCAAAGAUUGAUUUGAGGUCUGGCUACCAUCAGUUGAGGAUUAGGGCAUCCAAUGUCCCUAAGAUAGCUUUUCGGACUCGAUAUAGGCGUUAUGAGUUUCUAGUGAUGUCAUUUGGGUUGACAAAUGCCCCAGCAACAUUUAUGAAUUUGAUGAACCGGGUGUUCAAACCCUAUUUGGAUUCCUUUUUGAUUGUGUUUAUUGAUGAUAUCUUGAUCUACUCUAGCAGCCGAAAGGAGCAUGAGCAGCAUUUUCGAAUUGUACUUUAGACUCUAAAAGACAACAGUUAUAUGCUAAAUUUUCAAAAUGCAAGUUUUGGUUGGACUCAAUCGCUUUCUUGGGGCAUGUUGUAUCAACAGAGUGCAUUCAGGUAGAUCCUAAGAAGAUUGAGGUAGUUCAGAACUGGCCUAGGCCCACUUAAGCUAUGGAGAUACGGAGUUUCAUGGGUUUGAUGGGUUAUUACCGUCGGAUUGUGGAGGGGUGUUGUCUAUAGUAGCCUCAUUGAUCAGGUUGACCCAGAAUGGUGCCCCGUUCAGAUGGCCAAACGAGUGUGAGGCAAGCUUUCAAAAGCUCAAGACUGCUUUGACUAGGCAUCAGUGUUAGUGUUGCCCACAGGUUCAGGAUCUUAUACGGUAUAUUGUGAUGUAUGUUGUAUUGGACUUGGUACAGUAUUGAUACAGGAUUGAAGGGUAAUUGCAUAUGCGUCGCGGCAGUUGAAGGUUCAUGAGAAGAAUUAUCUGUUCAUGACUUAGAGUUAGCAGCUAUUGUUCAUGUGCUAAAAUUUGGAGACAUUAUCCUUACGGCGUGUAGUGCGAGGUUUUCACAGAUCAUCGCAACUUGCAAUACUUGUUCAAACAAAAGGAUCUCAAUUUGAGGCAUAGGAGGUGUUUGUAGCUAUUGAAAGACUAUGAUAUCACCAUCUUGUAUCAUCGCGGGAAGGCCAAUGUGGUGGCCGAUGCCUUGAAUAGAAAGGCAGUGAGUAUGGGUAGCCCUGCGUACAUUAUAGUCGGUGAGAGACAACUUGCUUCAGAUGUUCAGUCCUUGUCCAAUCAGUUCGUUAGGUUGGAUUUUUCAGAGCCCAGUCGUAUUCUAGCUUGUAUAGUCGCCUGGUAUUCCUUGUUUGAGCGCAUCAGGGAGCGGUAGUAUGAUGACCCUCAUUUGUUUGUCCUUAGGGAUACAAUGCGGCACGGUGAUGCCAAGCAAGUUACUAUUGGAGAUGAUGGAGUUUUAAGGAUGCAGGGUUGUAUUUCUGUGCCUAAUGUAGAUGGACUUUGUGAGUUGAUUCUUGAGGAGGCCCAUAUUUUUCGGAAUUCUAUUCAUCCGGGUGCCACCAGAUGUAUCAAGACUUGUGGUAGCAUUAUUGGUGGAGAAGGGUGAAGAAGGACAUAGUUGCAUAUGUAGCUCGGUGUCUAAGUUGUCAACAAGUAAAGUAUGAGCAUCAGAGACCUGGUGGUUUGCUUCAGAAGUUAGAGAUUCCUAAGUGGAAGUGGGAGCAUAUCACUAUGGAUUUCGUUGUUGGACUCCCAUAGACUCAGAGUAAGUUCGAUGCAGUUUGGGUCAUUGUGAAAGGGCUAACCAAGUUAGCGCAUUUCAUUCCUUUGGCAGUUACCUAUUCUUCAGAAUGGUUGGCUGAGAUCUACAUCCGCAAGAUCGUUCAUCCUCACAGUGUGCCUGUGUCCAUCUUUUCUGAUCGAGGUACGCAGAUCACCUCGCACUUUUGGAGGGUAGUAUAAUAUGAGUUGGGCAUGCAGGUUGAGUUGAGCACAACAUUUCAUCCUCAGACGAACGAACAGUCCGAGCGCACUAUCCAGAUAUUGGAGUAUAUGCUUCACGCUUGUGUUAUAGACUUCAGAGGUUCUUGGGAUCCGUUCAUGCCUCUUGCGGAGUUUUUCUACAACAACAACUACCAAUCGAGCAUUCAGUUGGCUCCCUAUGAGGCAUUAUACGGGAGGCAGUGCCGAUCUCAAGUCGGAUGGUUCGAGCUGGGGGAGGUUCGGUUGUUGGGUACAGAUCUGGUACAAGAUGCCUUAGAUAAGGUCAAGAUUAUUCAGGAUCGACUUUGCAUAGCUCAGUCCAGGCACAAGAGUUAUGUCGACCGUGGAGUUCGUGAUGUUGCAUUCAUGGUUGGAGAGAUGGUAUUGCUCCGAGUUUCACCCAUGAAGGGUGUGAUGAGGUUCGGAAAGAAAGGCAAGUUGAGCCCUAGGUAUAUCAGACCUUUUGAGAUUCUUCAUAGAGUGGGUGAGAUGGCUUACAAGCUCACAUUGCCAUCUAGUUUAUCAGCAGUCCAUCUGAUACUCCAUGUGUCCAUGCUCCGAAAGUAUCACGGUGAUCCGUCCCAUGUGUUAGAUUUCAACUCUGUCUAGUUGGACAAGGAUUUGAAUUAUGAGGAGGAGCUGGUAGCUAUUCUAACCCGGCAAGUUCGUUGGUUGAGGUAAAAGAGUUAUCCUUUAAGUCGAGUGCAGUAAAGAGGUCAGCUCGCUGAGGCAGCUACAUGGGAGUCCAAAUCGGAGAUGCGGAGAAGAUAUCCAUACAUUUUCACCAGUCCAGGUACUUUUCUAUGUCCAUUUGAGGAUGAACAGUUAUUUUAGAGAUGGAGAAGGUGAUGACCCGAUAGAUCAUCUAAAGUUUUAUAGCCUAACUCUGUGUUUUGAAGCCUCAAAUACCUUAUUUUAGCCUUCCUCGAUUUGUGUGCACAGUCUGGGUAUUUUUCUAAUAAAUCUUUCAUGUUAAAAAUUGAACAAAUAUGAAAAAUUUCCUUAAAAAUCCAUUUUGAGUUGACUUUGGUCAACAUUUUGAGAAAACGGACUCGGAUCCGUAUUUUGACAGUCCCAAUGGGCCCGUCUUCUGAUUUGGGACUUGGGCGUAUGCCUGAAAUCGAAUUCGGAGGUCCCUAGCUCGAGUUAUCGUAUUUUGUUGAAAAAUUGAGGUUUAAAGGCUUAAUGAAUCUAAAAGUUUGACCAAUAUUUGACUUUAUUGAUAUCGGGUCUGUAUUUUGGUUCAGGAACCUGGUAUAUGUCCACUACUAUAUUUAUGAAUUGUCUGUCAAAUUUGGUGAGAAACGGAGUUGGUUUGACGUGAUUCAAAUGUCUGGUUGUUAAAACAAAAGUUCAUGAGUUUUCUUGAAAAUUUGAUUUGAUUUGGUAUUCAAUUCGUAGUUCUAGGUGUUAUUUUGGCAAUUUGAUCGCGCGAGCAAGUUCAUACGAUAUUUUUGGACUUGUGUGCAUGAUUUGCUUGGAGCCCCCGGGGCUCGGGUGAGUUUCGGAUAGGCUACGAAGGGAAUUUGGACUUAGAAAACAUAGUUGGUGCAUCUGGUUCUGGUACUGGUCUCUGAUCUCUCAAAUGCGGGGUCAGUGUUCACAAUUGCGAAUUACCCAAAGUCCUGUCAAGUUCGCAUUUGCGAACCACUUCUUCACAUUUGCGAAGAAGGCCUGGGCUAGCAAGGAUCGCAAUUGCGAUCAGGAGGUCGCAUUUGUAGGGAGACCAGAGUUCGCAUUUGCGAACAUUUCAUCGCAAAUGUGAUAAAAGUAGAGGUGUGAAGACUUCGCAAUUGCGAGGUAUUUUUUGCAUUUGCGGGGGUCGCAAUUGCGACAUCUACAACUGAAAAUAUAUGAGUUAGAUGGAAUUUUCUCUCAGUCUUCAAAUUUUUAAAAUAAGAAAAUCCUAGAGGCGAUUUUCCCAAGGGCCCUUCUUCCCCAAUCCAUUGGUAAGUGAUUCUAACAUAUUUUCUUUCAAUCUUUCAUUAUACUUCAUAAGAUUUCAACCUAAAAUCUAGUGUUUUCAUGGUGGAAAUUGGGGGUUUGGGUAGAAUUAGGGAUUUUUGUAAAAUUGAGAUUUAGACCUCAAAUUGAGGUCGCAUUUCAAAACAAUUACAUAACCGGGCUCGGGGGUGAAUGGGUAAUCGGAUUUUGGUCCAAAUUUCAGGUUUGGACCAAGCGAGCCCGGGAGUUGAUUGACUUUUUAAAUAAUAACCUAAAUUAAAUCUUUUGUAAUCGUGGGUAGUUCCUAAGGCUUAAUUUGAGCCGUUUAAUUGGUAAUUUGCUAGAUUUUAUUGGUUCAGAGGCUUGUUUGAAAGGCAAAGAUGUGGUUGAGCUUUGAGUUAAUCUUCAGAGUAAGGUAAGUAUUGUGGUUAACCUUUAUUUGAGGGAUUAGGAGUUGUUUGUCUAUUUGCUACUUGUUUAGAUGUUGGGUACAACAUAUAUGUGAGGUCACGAAUACUUAUGCAUUGUUGUUGGGUUAAAGCAUGCGGGUGAGACUUAUUCCUCGUAAUUUAUUGCUUAUUUUGAUCAUGUUAUCCAUGCUUAGACUAUUUACUUAUUAAAAUGAUUGUUCUUACCGCGUUUAUGGGUUUCUGUGAUAAUUGAGUAUUGUUUCUAAAAUUGAGGUUGGUAUUGUGGAACCCUUGUGGAUAUAAGGCUUGUUCUUGUUUAUUCUAUCUUCUUGUUGCAUGUCCAUUGUUAUAUGGUAAAGGAGAGUGUUAAUGCACGAAAGAUGACGUCGUACCAUAUUUGAGUAUUAAUGCACGAAGGGUGAUGUCGUGCCAUAUUGUGAGAGUUAAUGUACGAAGGGUGAUGCCAUGUCAUAUUUUGAGAGCUAAUGCAUGAAGGGUGAUGUCGUGCCGUAUCUACUGAUUUAUGAUGAAAGUGAGAGUAAAAGCACGAAGGGUGAUGCCAUGCCGUAUUAUUGUUUCAUUGUGAGGUUGAGAUUAAAAUCACGAAGGGUGAUGUCGUGCAAUUUUAUUCAUUGUGUUUAUCUGUUUUACUGGUUGAAGGCAUAUUGACUGUUCUGGUUAUCAUUUCUGUUGUAAUCAUCAUAUCUUGUACCCAUUUCGCAUAUCCCCUUCAAAUUGUACAUGUUUAUCUUUUAUUUGUUGUUAUUUUGUACGUAUAUUGUUAUCAGCACAAGUUAUUUACAUGGGUGUUUUGUCGUAGCUUCGUCACUACUUCAUCGAGGUUAGGCUCGACACUUAUGGCGUACAUGGGGUUGGUUGUACUCACACUACACUCUGCCUUCUUGUGCAGAUUUUGGUAUUGGUCCCAGUUGCCAUUGAGGUGCAUUAUCUCAGAUCCGCUGACUUGGAAACUCGAGGUAAAUCUACUGGCGUCCGCAGACAUUGAAGUCCCCUUCCAUUUUCCCUUAUUUACUGCUCGUUUCAUUCGAGACAGUUGUACUUAUUUCAGACUCUGUUUGUAGACAAUUCUAGAAGCUCAUGAAUUGUGACUCCGGAUUCGGGUUGUAUUGAUAUUAUUAGCUUUUUAUGUUAUUCCACACUCAGUUUUAGUUUCAUUUUGGCUUAAUUGACUUUAUUUAUUGAAAUUGAUUAAAAUUGCUUAAAGAUCCUCUAAUGUUGGUUUGCCUAGCAAGUGAAAUGUUAGACGCCAUCACGGUCCUGAAUGUGAGAAUUUCGGGUCGUGACAGUCCGUCCACUCUUUACGGCAAUUUCUUAUUUUCUUAAGAAAUGAACUAUUUUCCAGGGGAAAUAUACAAAUAGUAUUCUUAGAAAUGUUAUUUAGAAAUUAAUCAGUAUUUAAUUUGUCCUAAAAAUUUUAAUUUCAGGACAAUUUAGGAUAUUUUUGUCCUGAAAAACUAAAAUUCAAAAUAAAGGCUAAUUCCUAAAUAGAAGCCCUUUGAGUGGCUACCUGAUGACAUUUCUACCUCUUCUCCCCUAUACUGACAUCCAAACGAAGUUUAAGAGAUAUUAGCGGGAGAAAUUAAAAAAUAGCCAGAUUUACAAGUGGUCAUUCAAAAAUAGUCACAAUUUCAAAAGUAAUCGAAAUUUAGCCAUUUUUUAUGUAAAGAUAAAUCUGAACGAAACACUGUUCAAAAAUUCAAAAAAUACUCCACCAUAAUAUACUGGAAUUCCUGUAUAAUAUACUGGAACUCCAGUAUAUUAUAUUGGAGUUCCAGCAUAAGUUAUACUGGAGUUCCAGUAUAAUAUACUGGUACAACAUAAUAUGCUGGAAGUUCAUACACAGGUGCUCCAAUCUCCAGUAUAUUAUGCUGGAACUUUCUACGUGUUGGAGUUCUAGCAUAAUAUGCUAGAAGUUCAUACACAUGCACACCGAUCUCCAGUAUAUUAUGCUGGAACUUUCCGUGUUGCAGCAAAAUAGUGACUAUUUUUCAAUAAUUUUGUAAACACUGACUAUUUUUCAAUAACAAGUCCGAAAACUGGCUAGUCCGUGCUAUUUUUAUGAUAUUGGCAACCAAAUUGGUUACGUUACAAAUCAUAUUGGGCUUUUUUGUAAAGUGGGCUCAUAUCUGAAAAACCGAGCUACUUCAUGUUGAAGGCUGCUAAACUCUUCGACUUAAUGGAUUUCAUCACAUCCAAUAGUUUCUCUCUUUUUUUCACCUCGAACGGAAUAAUAAUUAGUAUUUCAACUUACAAGUUUGUGCAACAAUAUUGGUUACAUGAAAAUGAGAAGAAUUCUAAUUAGACUUUUGAAAGAAAAAUGGGAAAGUAGUUAAAAGGGUUAAAAGGGAAUACUAUUGAAUUUGAAUAAUUAAUGAAGACAUUAUUAAUACACAAAGGGUGGAGAUAGCCCUUAAACCAUUUAGUAAGACAUGAUUUAUUGAUUGGAAAGGUAUAUGUAUCACCAAAAUACUACUAACUUGGUAUGCAAAACACAGCACGUGGUCCUUGUCUAAUAAAUGACAACUUCAAUUUCUUCUUUUAUUUUCUUCCCUUGUUGACUUUAAGAAGUUGAGUCGUUGUACAACCUACUUAUAUAAAAAAUAAUUGAUCACUAAAUCCAGAAAAAUCUCUUUCUUCUUUCUAUUGGAUAAUCCAAUGCUCACGCAUUCCUUUACCUCGUGAAUUAUAGGAUUUGAAUACCCUACAAAUAAUGUCCCAAGUCACAAGGAAUAUGGUAAUUCAUGACUAAAAGACGCAGUCUUUUUCUUCUAUAUUGUCGUUUAAAAUAUUCUUGAAGACGACGUCUUACACUAUCAAAUAAUUAAAUAUCGUACGUGUAAAAUGACAAAUUCUUGAGAGCCAACCACUCCUCAACCGUACUACACGACAAAAAAAAAGGAAAAAUAAGAAGACAAAAAAAAAAAUUACAAGUCCGAAAAUUUGUAACCCAAGCGGAACCAUGCUUCUCUUUACUAAAUAAUUAAGUGAAUUAAUUCUUGUUCCUUUUCCCCCUUGAUAUGUACAACAAAUAUAUUAGACAUCCUAUCAAUCUAUUACUAAUUAAAUUUGAUCAUAGUCCUAAUUAAUCCUAAUUAAGAUCUCAAAAUAGACUGUGACAUGCGUCACCAAGAGGCAGUAUUAGGAUUAAAAGAAGGCAUGAAAAUGCGUUGGCCGGUGGCUAAAAUAUGUCUUGGGUCAAAAUCUAAUUUCCUUUGCUGAAAUCUGGUCCAAUAUUUAUCUCCAAAAUGGUCCCUCCAUUCUCUUUGUGUUGUGUAAUGAGGCAGGUAUUGUUUGAUUUUGAUCUUUGCAUCUUCACAAAACUUCAAUAUUUGGUAGUUUUGAUUGCUGAGGUACUCUAAUGUUUGUGUCUCGUCACCAUUUGUCAAUGCUGACCUCAGAAAUCCCACUAAGUAAAACACUUCCUCUUCUGGCGUCACUACUGAACUCCUCUCGUCCCACCUAUUAAAAAAAUUAUAGCACAAGCCAAGAGUGAGGCCAAUAUGCAAAGACAAUAUUGCAAAUAGAGGUUUUUUGAAGUGUCGCGUGCGAGGCCAAGGCUUAUGGCAAUGGCCCGAGGUCAGCCGUGGCAGGCCUAUGUCAAUGGCCCGAGGUCGGCCGUGGCAUGCCACUAUAGGCCGAGGUCGACCAUGGCAUGUCUAUGUCAAUGGUACGAGGUCGGCCCCUGAAUUCCUGUUUUGUGAUCCUAAAAUAUCAGAAAACUAGGAAUGAUCAUAUCGAAAUGAUGAUUAUUAUUAACUAAGUCGUUUAUAUAUAAAUUUUAUAGCGUUGUCUCUCAUUUAAGAACUUAAAGUUGUUAGAUAAAAAUUUUGUACUUAACAAGCAUUUGUAAAUCUACAAAUUAACUUGAUAAAAGUGUUUCAUAUAUAAUCAUAUAUAAACUUUUGAAUAACAAUUUAAACGUUUAAAUAAAAGUGUGGUCAUACAUUACAAUAAAUUUGUCGUAUCGAUUGGACUCCCGUACUUAGAACAAGAUUUUCGAAUAUUCGUGAGUUGUUUUUUGAUAAGGUUAGGAAGUAUAACUAUUACAUGAGCCAUGAAUUGGUCCCCAAAGGGAAGAUCUUCCUGACAAGAGGAUCUUCAUUGUUUUGGACCAUUUCUGUACCUUCUAAUUUUAUUUUAUUUUUAUUUGGAUUUAAAGGGACAUAAGGUUCAUAGUUUUAGGCCUUUAGCUGGAUAUUAGACUAGUAUUAUGCAUGCAUGCCACGUGUUUAGGUGGACAUGCCACUUAUCAUUCGACAUAUUACAUGAACUUAAAUAACCACUCACCCCAAAUUAAAGUAAGCAUUGGGAUGGUUCAGGGGAAAUCAAUGCUAGAAACCUAAAAGAAAUACCCCCUCUAUGUUUUAAAUUAUCUGUAAUUUAUCUGUCCAAGUUUGAUUGGGCAUAAAAUUUAAUAAAGUAACAAAACCUUUUAAAUUUUAUAGUCUUAAACUAAAAAUGUCUGUAAUUAAAAAUUCUUAAAUGUUGUGGUCUUAAAUUUGCUAUGGGAAGGUUAGACAGUUAAAGAAUAAUACUAAAUAUAAAAAAAGAUAUUCUUUUUUAAAGAGAUAAAAGAAAGAAAGAAAAUAAGCAACAUAAAUUGAAACGGAGUAAUACUAAACUCAUUAAGUAUAAAUUUGAAUUCCCCUUUAAGUGGGGUCAUUAGUAGGGCAUGGUAUUUGGUAUAGAACGUCGGAUUGUCACUAUUCAUAUCUUUUGGAUUCAUGCCAAUUUACUAGUCAUAAUGCUGUCUUUUAGCUAGGACAAAACAAAAUUACAGCCAAAAUUCUGCACAAAAAAGUAGAUACUGAACGAUCGCUUAAAGCAAUUAGCAGGGGAGGGACCAAUGGACCAUACUAUGAAGAUUGAUUGAAAAUUUGGUCUUUAGGUUUUCGUAAUUAUCGAUAAAAUUACAGAAAUCGGGUGCGAUGUCUAAUGAACAUAAUCCAAAUUGUGAGGGGAUGUACAUGACAUAGACAUAUCGCUAGUUCUACCAAAGUUUGUGUCAUGAAAAACAGCACAAAUUAUAUAUGCAUAGCAUAGUACAUACUACAUACUGUUUUUUUGCAUGCAUGCACUGCAGACAACCAACGUAAGAAACAGACAGAGGUAGAUGACGGUAUGUAUAUAUAUCACAAGAAGAAGCCAUAAUUGUAAGGAUUCAACUUAUAUAACUGUCGGUGUAAAUAUUUUUACAUUAUCGUAGUUGCGGCAUGCCAGAAAAUUUAUUUUAUUUUUCAAGUUACUAAUUAAUAAUAUUAUUUUAUGAACGAUUGCUUAUAGUAUAUAGUCAUUAAAGUCAGAUUAUAUAUAGGACUACCGAUUUUGUCUUCAAUUUAAUUUUAAUCAGUUAAUUAGGACUAUCUCAUUUGCAUUUUGAUAUUUAUUUAUUAUUUAACUAUAAUAAAUUAAUACUGAUAGUAUCAUUUAAUGUAAAUACAGAGUGUAAGUAAAAGAAUUUCGAUUAAGAACUUACUUGUUCUUGUUCAUGGGGUAGAUGAGUAUGGGACCACUGGUCUUAUUCCCCAAAAUGCCCUUAAAAACUCCUUUAUCGAAGUCUGCAAUUCUUGAUUUUGGGACAAAUAGGUUUAGCCAUGGGUGUGGCACUUCCCACAAUCCUUUAGACCGGAGUUUCAACUCUGCCUUGUGAACCCGGUCCAAGAAAUCCACGUAAGGAAGGUCUGUUGUAAAAACUGAUGCUGGUAUAUAUUUUAGCUUCUUUAACAAUGUCUCUAUCUCCUGCAUUUCAUUAAAAAAAAAGAAAAGGAAAAAGAACAAUUACAAUUCAUUUUCAAAGUUAACACACAUUAAAAAAUUGUAAUCAAAGUACAAAUAAGGUAGUCACUGCUUAACUGUUAUACUUUUGUCAGGAUAACCUUUAAUUUAGUUUCAUGCAAACUCCAAUUAAAUAUUCAUACUAUAAAACAGAAUUAUUAGACUUAGGGAAUAAAUUUUGGUGGGAGGUCAGUGGACGGCAUAGAUAUAAUCAUAUUAUAAUAUAGUUAUAUUAUAAUACUAAUAAACAAUUAAAGUUUGCGUUCUAUCUUAGGAUCUGACAGAGCUGAUAGAUUGUGGAAGAUCUUCCAUGUUUUCUUGUGCAUGUUGUGUUCCUUCUUUUUACGACGAAUGCUGUCAUCGAAUAAUCAGAGUGAUGAACAGAUAAUCUAAUAAUCUACUUUAAUUAUUCCUAGAAAUAGCUUUGGAUGUGUACCAAACAGGAAUAGCGACAACUAAACCUUGUAGAAUGUUCUAUAAUUAAUUUUUCUAUGUCAGCAAUUAAAUAACGUACCACAUUUCUUAAUCAAUCUUUCUUUUUUGAUAGUAUGAGUUUAACUAAUAUAUACACCCAUAGUGUUACAGAAUUUAUACUAUUAUGUCAGUUAAACGUCAAUUACUAGCAACUUUUGAAAAUGAAUUGUUAAGUAAUAUAGUAUAUAUUAGGCUAUUACCACAGAUGAAGUUAUACAACAAUAACAAUAACCCAAUGUAAUUUUUCAAGUAGAGAGAGUAGGAUGUAUGCAGCUUUACUCCUACACUGAAAGAUCAAAGAGAUUAUUUCUGAUAGACCCUCGGCUAAAGAAGAUGAAGCUAUACUAAUAAUGUUAAAAUCUUUUACAUAUGCAUAAUUGAUUUAUUUUUAAAUAUGUUAUCAAUAUGUCGUAUGUAGUAGUAAGAUUUAGCAUGUAAUUAAAAUAAAAGAAGAAAACAGGCCUCCUAAGGUAUAGCUUCGCCACCUAUAUAGCUUCAUUUAGCAAAAUAAUGUCUACUUUACAGGCUUUAUUCGCACUAAAAUGCAUUAAUCAGAGAGAUAAAGCUAAAGGUUAACUACUACUAGCGCAUCUUAUAGCAAUCGAUCACCAACUUUAAUCAUCUUUUUUUCUUUAUAUUCUAAUGUCAAUACAGAUGGGAAUCAUGUGUGCAGGAAUCAAGAAACUAAACUAAAGAUACUUUGUUUAAUAUAAUCUAUCAGGAAAUAAUAUAUUUAACUAACACAAUCAUGAUUUAGCAACAAUAUAAUAUCUGUAACGAAACAUGCAUAAGAUUCAAAUAGAGUAGUGGGUAUAAACCUGGUCAACGAUAUCAGCAUUUGAAAGGUGAUAAUUUUUGGUGAUUUCUAAGCAAUAUAAAACUCCUCCUUCAGACUUAAGAGAAGAAAUCUUGACAGGGUUACUUGGGGAGAAAAAAGAAGAUCUCCAGUUGUUAAUGAGGCCUUCAUCAACUAUAACAAAUCCUUCAACAUAGUCAAAUUUUUGGGAAGCUGGUUUUCCAUGUAGAGAUAUUAGAUAUUCUUGGUCUUCGGUAAAUGUUGAAAAAUUUGAAUAUAAAACUCGGAUCCACCUCACCUGCAUGUACAUUAUAUAAAUGAGUUUACUUUAAUUUGACAGUCAAAAGAGUUCUUACAUUAUUAUGUUAUUUAAAAAUAACUAUAGGUAAGUGUGAUGUUUACUCUAUUAGAUCACCUAAAGAUAAUUAUAAGCAACUGUUCAUAAAAAAAAGGAUUAAUAACCUAAAAAAAUAGACAUGUUACUUGCAACACUAGGUUAAAGUACACUUGUCUAUACAAGUUAAACGCUAAGAAAAGUAGAUUUUUGUUUUAAUUAUUCACGAGUUAUUUAUGAAGAAUGAAAAAAAAUGAAAAAUUAAAAUAGAAAGUGAGAUAACAUUUUUUUGGAGGGAAAAGUAAUAUGUCAACAACAGUGCCAGCUUAAGAACAGCCGUUUAAGAUGAAGUUGGAAAAAGCUGCUAACAGAGGACCCAUCUUCCUCACUCUUAUGUCAUGAAUUAUGCAAACUACCUUUCGUGUCUUGUCCAAAAACUAAUACUAAGAAAAAAAAGUCUUCAACCAAGCCAAAACCCCACCAUGUAGAAAACAAAAGGCAAUCAAAAUAGUGGAAUAUGCUCUAUUUAGUACUAGCAUUUAUAUUUAGGACAAAAAAAGAAAUUAAAUAUUACCCUUUGGGGAGCUUGUUCAAGUGCAAUUCUUGCCCUUGUUAUAAUCCCAAAUUGUCCUAAUCCACCAAGAGCAGCAUGAAACAGCUCGGAGUUUUCUUUUUCUGAACAUGUUAAUAGCUCACCCUUACCUGUAUCAAAAUCCCAUGAGUCACAUCAAAUAUGACAAUUAAAAUGGUUCAAAUUAUAUACUUUUAUUAAUUUCUAAAUUUACCCCAAAAUCCAAAAGAGUGGUGUGUAAAACAAUCAACUAUGUCAAUCUAUAUUGUCAUUGCUCUUAAGACAAUAAGAAUUAUUGGUACUAAUGACAAUGAUUAAACCAUGCCCAAAGUAAGAGAUUCUAUUAGAAUAAGAGAGAUGAGUUAAGCAUAAAAACAAAAACACCCCAUGUGGUACUCACACAAUUUCAAGUACACAUCUCUAAACAUAUUCGAAAAAAAGGGGUUCCUACUUAACACAAAAAUAAAGCUAUUGAUAAAACACCCCAUCAAAAGAUAUUACAAGACAAAAAACCAUCCUAACAUCCCAUGUUAUUGUUCUAAAGUAACAUAUCUGGCAUCUACUUUCUUUCUUAACAAAAGCUAUUAGGAAUUAAGUAUUAAAUAGAGAGAGUACAAUAACGUCCUGGAAUCUUGAAGAUAAGAAUGUAAGAAUUAUUGUUUUUGGCAAUGAUACCAUACGUGAAUAUUUUAUGAUAUUAUUUAAUUUUUAGACACUAACAGUAUAAUAAACUCUCUGAUAAUGUAGGAGUUUCACUUGAAAAGAAUUUUUUUACAUGCAACAACAAAAAUAAUAAUAAAUCCAAUAAAAUCUCAUGAGUGAGGUCUGGGAAAGGUAGCGCGUACACAUCCAGAGAGUUGUGUGUAUACAAACCUUAUUCCUACAUUAGGAGGGUAGAUAGACUAUUUCCGAUAAACCAUCCCAUCGGGCCCAGGAACAGAAAAAAAUUAAAUUAAACGCACCUGUAACAACAUCAAGCUCAUGAACAUUGUUAAUUUGAGGGCCAUGAUUGAAAGCUUGUCCACUAAUACCAGCAUUGGAGAGGGUACCACCCACAGAUAAGUACAAGUAAUCAGUCCAUGAUUUUGGUGCAAGUCCAUACUCUAAGGUGGACGUCAACACAUCUAUCCAUAACUCUCCACCCCACACAUCAGCAUACAUGAAUUUCUCCGAAACCUCGGUCAAUAACUUCUGCUUAGAGUUAGAGCCGCCGCUCAUUUGGAUCACAACACCAUUUGUUAUCAUAGCCUGUCCAUUUAUAGAAUGUCCGUGUCCUCUAGCCGACACGGUAAACCCAUGAGCCGAGUCGUACGCGGCUUUCACAAGCCGCGCUACGUCCUCGGCUGUAGCCGGGUUAAGAACCGCCAUCGGCUCAGCUCUAUGCAACCCGCCGAAGUCCACGGACGCAGUUUCUAAAUCGGCUACCGCCACGCUGAGGUUUCCGUUGAGCCCGAGCCGUAAAAGCUCAGUCGGGUCAAACCUAAACCCGACGGUUACAAUAAGCCGACAUAUAGCAAGUGUCAACAAAAGUUUAGUAGCCAUAGGUAAAGAGGAAGGCUUUUGCUUCUAUACAAAGAGUAUAGCAAAGUGAAGAUUAAGUAAAAUGGUGUGAGGGAUGUGUUAUUUAGUUAGAUAGGAGUACUAAAUAUAUAUACGUGGAAACUAUUGAAAGUUGGUAUAUAUAUUAUGGUUUUGAAAAUUUUGAGGUGACACUUGGGGAAAAGGGAACAAAAUCUUUGUGGCAGGAGCAAAAGUACCAAGAACAAGAGCAGGGGCGUCAGCAGUAGCGUGGGACUAACGUAAGACAGAUUGCACUUUAAAGAUUUUCACAAUCUCAAUCUUUGUUUUUCGUUCUAGCUAUAGAUACUAGCUACUUUUCAUUAAUAACAUCAAAAGAUACAAUGAAGAAGAAGAGGAAAAUUCAGAAAUGCAAGAAUGAGAGGUGGUAAAAAUGGUGGUAGUAUUAUGUGUUUGAAGAGGAAAAGGAUUCAUUUUGUUGAAUUUGUAUAGUUAAGAACAUUUGUUUAUAUGACUUUUGAGAUUGUCUAGGAUAAGAGAUACAGGUUGGGUAUUUAUAGGACAAAUAGAGGGAGAAGAAGAAGGGGGAAAGAGAAUGUCACGUGCGAGGGAUGAGGCCUGACACGAGUGAACUUCAAGGGCCCCACUGGUUGUAGGGGCCCACAAAGGGAUACGGAGGAUCUGUGUGGGGACAUAAACAAAGGAAACCUUCACGUGAGGACUGGUCGACGGGUCUGUUAUUUCUUUUUCAUUUCUUCUUCUUAAGGUUUCAUUUUGGAAUUGAAUGAUUGGCUAAUUCAAAAUUAGUUAUGCAUGUCGGUUUUUUGGAUAAUAUUAAAAUUUGAGGUUGAGAAAAUUAGGAGUAGUAUUUAAGGUUGAAGCUGGAAAAAAAUGGUAGAAAUUGACUCAAUAAGAACAUCACUUAAAGUUAAUACAAAGUUUGUGCUAGUUAAAAUUUGUAAAGAAAAUCCAGCAUUUCAGUUGAGAUGCACCUUCAAAUUAGUAAUUGAAUGACCAAAUAAGUGUUUGCACUUUUGCAGUCGGCGUUCAAUAUUUGUAAUUAGUUAAAAUAUUGAUGAUAUUAUUAAUUUAAACCUUUUUUUUUUCUUCAAUUAAUUUAAUAGAUGAAUAAAGAGGUGUGCAAUUGGUUGACAACAGAUAAGUGUUUGCAUUUCGAGCUCUUGAUUGUUGAACUACUCUUUUCAACCAUUAAUAUUCGCUAAAACAAAAAUUGGAAUUAGUUAUGAAAUUUAUCGUUUAACUGUCGCUAAAUCGCUCAUAACUAACAUUCUUAAUAAUCCGUCGCUAAAUAAAAUUAGCAACAAUUUUUUUUGUUCGGCUACGGAUUUUGUCAAUCGCUUAUUCCUGUUCUUUUAGUGUUGAUAUUUCGUUUAUAGUUGACUUAAUCAAACUUUAUAAGAAAGUCUCAUAUUUACCAAAAACCACAAGUUUUUAUUUUGGGUGGGGGGGGGGGGGGAACAAGUAUUAACGAUUGAGAAAUAUUAGACUAUAUUGGAGUAGCUAUACGAUCAUAACGAUAGAUUAAUAAGCAAUAUCCCUAGAUUAAAUAUAGUUAGAGAGCAUGCUUGAUGCAGGCAAUAAUAGGCUAGAGUUGCAUUAUAGUAUUUAAUUACAUUGCAGUUUGCAACUAAUAAGAAGUUAGAUCCCAAUAUAAUAUCGAUUAGCGUCUAUCUUCCCUGAAUUGAAGGAAGUAUUAAUUGUUAAUGAUGAGGUCAGUAUCACUUAAACCAUGUUGGAGAUAUGAACAUAUAUAUGGAUUGGAUUAAGGCUAAAAGACACACGAAGGAAAUCUAAACAUAGAUUAUAUAUGGAUCGUACGUACUAAUACAGUUGCCUAAUCAGGUUAAAAAUGAGAAACUAGACUAGUAGUACCUAUUCCUUAUUAUAUUGCAACUAAUUAAGUUAAACAAUAAAUUAAACACGAAAAUUCAUGAAUCAAUUAAACAGAAUUAUUUAGCUGUGUCGCAUUCCCAUUGGAUGACUAUACCAUGGUCACAUGAGUAAUAAUUAAGAUACAUAGUUCAUGAUAAUUAAAGGAUGAUUCAAGCACAUUCAUAUGUUUGUUCCAUAAUUUUUUUUUGAAUUAUUAAUUAAUUGUUUUUGAUUCACCGAAUCUUACCCUUUCAACGGGGUCAAUAAAAAAUUAAAAUAUGAACUAAUUUAAAACUUAAAUCAAAUAUUUUAUUCUUACUUAUUCUGAUUAUAACAUUCCAAGAAAAGAAGAAGUUAAGUCUAUAUAUAUAUAGUUGCACUAUAUAUGCAUAGAUCACUGAAGUUUAUAUAUAAAUACACUUCCAAAAUAUUCUAUUUCAAUUUUAAGUUUAAGCGUUUUUUUAACUUUAACAAAAUAUUAUCUAAAAAUAAUCACAAGUUUUUCUUUCAAUAUGUCCAAAAGUAAAAUUGAAAUGGAUUGAUGCAAUAGUCCUCUGUAUGAACAGUAGAAAAACUUGCGGAACUUGUGGAGUACGUAUUAGAUUGAGUCUACCUCUUGAUAAUUGGCUAUGCUAAAUUUCGAAUAAUUUGACCAACUCAAAUUUUGCCAAUAAUUAGGUCCACUUGUGAUAUAUAGUAUAUGUAUAAAUACUUUGGACUCUUAAUUAUUAACGUGUCCUACCUUCUAACCAUGGUUGUUAUAUAUGUCCAAUGGCGGAUACAAGAUUUUAAAGUCGUGGGUGCUCACUGAUAAAAAAUUUGAAAGAAGAGGAAAAAAGAGUUUAGUUAUGGGUGCUCAAUCAAUAUUUACCUAAAUAUUUUUAUAAUUACCUAUACAAAUUUACUAAAUCUUGUCAAAGAUAAUGGGUGCUUGAGCACCCAAAAUUAGCAUGUAGAUCCGCCCCUGUAUAUGUCUAGUAUAAUCUCAUAUACCAUUCAUUUAAGAGUGUAACUUAUAUACUACGGCAACAACAACACAACGCAGUAAAAUUCUACAAACGCAGACCGAGAGGGAUAGAGAGGUUGUUUUCGAAAGAUCCUCAACUCAAGAAGAAAAAAAAUAAACAUUAGACAAUGUAACUUAUAUAUACAAUCACAUGCUAAAUAAUUUUACACUAUUCAUUCACAUUUAACUUUAGUAGACAAGCUUUUCUAGAACAGGUAAGUUACCUUAUUUUAGCAUUAUAAAUUUCACUUUUUAUGGGAUUACCUUUAUAUAUAUAUAUAAAGAGAACCUGAUAAUUAAAACCUUUACGUUGUCGGUGUAUACAAAGUCCUCUAAUAUACACCCCCCCCCCCCCCAAACCAAACCCUUUAAAGCUUAGAUAUAAAAAUACACUAAAGGCUCAAAAUUUCUUGAGUUGCCUAAAACAUAUUGACCAAAACCUAAGAGUACUUUUGAGUUUCCUGCCAUACAUAGUGUGUAUAAAAUUUUAAAAAGAAAUAAACUUGUUGUAGACGUAAGUAUACAUAAAAUUUGAUACGGCUCUUUCCAAAUUCCAACUAAUUUUAGGUGUUGUGGAAUUCAACAUAUAGGUGUUGAAAAAGAAAAAUAGAAGAUUUCAACAUAUAGGUGCUAAAAUCACUGUUUAUGAGUCAAUGUAUAUGUCGUUCUUAAUGUCAAUUCUCUCUGUCCCAUCCUUUUAAAAUAUUUUCAACUACUUGUUUUCUGUUUCUUAGUAAGAAAAUGAUGUAACUUCAUUGUUUCUUUUUCUCUAUAACCACCAAAAUCUUGUUUCUUAAUUAGUCCUUGUCGAUACAAAAUAAUAUGGUUAAUUAAUUUCUCCGUCCUUUGUUAUAAGACUACCUGGUCCGAAUGAUGCAACAGCUUAUUCAAAGAGAUAAGAUGGUUAUUGGUUAGAUUAAGAUGUGUUAAUCAAGAUUGAGAAGAUUAACGACAACACAUGCAACUGCCUGUAUGGCUAAUAUUUGUCAUGCAUAUUAAGUGCAUUAAACAUACAUUAUGUAACUGCCUGUUGUGGGUGUAUUUACAAACAUAAGCGUUCUCAUUUAUCAAAUCUUGCCUCCAUUUUUGUCAUAUAUGCAUUAGUCUCAGAGGGUGUUUGGCUAAGCUUAUAAGGGGGUUAAACUGACUUAUAAACACUUUUUGGCUUAUCUACGCGUUUGAUAAAAUUAAAAGUGCUUAUAAGUUAAGUGUUUAUAAGCCAAAAGCCAUAAGUUGGUCUCCUCGGCCCCAACUUAUUAAAUUUCAGCUUAUAAGCACUUAGUUUCACUAAAAUAUUUUCUAUUCUAUCCCUAAAAUACUUUUUUUUAAAAGAAAACUUUUCGUAUACCUAGUUCUUCAGCAGCAUAGUAUUAAUUUCAGCACUUUUAUCCAAACACUUAACUGUUUAUUUUUUAAAUCAGUUUCAGCACUUAAAAAUGCUUUUCAGCAUCUAAUGCUUAUCAGCUACUCUAAAUCAGCUAAGUCAAGCGGCCUCUUAAUCCAAAUUAUACGUCUUGAUUUGAAAGACGAUCAAGUAAGACGACGUAAAUGACGAAUACAUUGCACCCUACCCAGGAUUUUCUAUUUUGCAAGUUGUUCAACUAGUACAAAAUCUCUCUCAGUUAAUAGUUAUCGAACUAAACCAAUAAUUAAUUAGUAAACAAGUAGGAGAAAAUCUUUUGCACUGUUCUAACAAACAUAUAUCUUCGAAUACUAUCCACUUCAGUGUUUUGAUUCAAUUGGCAGAAGCCCAUAGUUAAGAAAUCUGUGAUCUCAACAUAAGCUUUUUUAUAUUUUAUUUAUUGUUAAGGGAAGUGGGAAGUGAUUAUUUGAUAUUAUUAAUAUUGAAGUUUGUUUGGUUCUGUUUCUUGGAAACUCUUUCUAAUUACGUCGAUACUCAUUUACUAGUCCUGACAUACCAACCAGGCAAGAAUAUUAUUGAAUUAUUCUUGAUUAAUUAUUUAAAUCAAGGUCAUAUACAAAAAUAAGAAUUUUUAAUUCCACGGAGUUCUCAUACUUACAUAGGCAUCUUGCUAUUUGCUAUAUCCAAUAGUUUCGUGUCUGAGAAAAUCAUUUUAAAUAUAGGAAUGUCUAUGUCAUCACAAAUGAUUCCAUACCAAAUUAUGCCCUGAGAGAGUAAAAAGAUACCAAAAUAAAAUCUGAUUAAAAAUAGAAGAAAAUCUAACGAUUUUGACCUCUCUGAUCAGCUGAUGGAUAAUUUAAGAUGAAGAUUGUGACAGUUAAUGUGUUCCUUAGAAGAGGCGGAGUUAAAAGAUAUGAAGUUUUUGAGUUCGGAAUUCUAAUCUUUUUAAGUUAUUGGGUUCAAAGUUAAUAAUUAUAUAUAAUUUAAUAAUUUUUUUUAGACAAAUACCGAAUUUGAACCAAAGUUACUAAAUUCGGCGCUAGCUAGCUCGCCACAGUUUCCUAGCAUAAUCAUUCAUCAUCUUUGUAAUUUAACUUUAAAUUAUAACUCUAGCUAGUGAUAUAGGUUUAGUGUUGCGUGAAAAAAGAGUUUUUUAGGUUUUGUCUAGUUUUUCAUUAAUUGCUAAAGUAAAGUUUUUCAAAAACUUUCAUAAUCAGAUUAUAUAUACCAUGUAAUACUCUUAUCAUCCUACUCAGCAUAAAGAUCAAGCAACAAAAAUUAGAUUUUCGGGAAAAAACGUGCUGUUUGUUAUAUAUAAUAAUCUUUAAAAUUCCCUCUCUUAUUAGAGCCAAGGGAAUUACGAGGCAAUUUGCAAACACAAAGUAUGAAUGACUGUAAAUACAAAAUACUACGUAUAGUAGAAGAGUAAUUUUUAUCCUCUCCCUACCGUUUAAAAACCAAAGCAUAGACCAACAUCUAUUAGGCUAUAGCCUAUAGACUAAGUUAUUAUAGAGAAAUUGAUCUAUAAUUGAGCGCAUUCAUUUAUAUGGCAAUUAUAAUAACAAACAAUUAUUCUCCAUGAUAGAGGUAACAGUAGCAAAUAGCUGAACUCCGGACUUUUUAUUAGAAGCUAUACUUAUAUUAUAUUCAUUUUUAAGAAUAAAAUUUUUUUGCAAUCUCUUAUAAUUUAGCCCUUUGUUGCUCCCAUUCGUCCAAAAAAAUAUGUUUGAGCUUCGCUUAUGAUGUUUUAAAGAGCAACACUGGUGAGUGAUACUUGCAAUUUUUUUUAGACAAUAUAAUCUAAAUUACUGGUGAUGGGCUUAAUGAUUAAAAUCAGCUGCCAUGAUUCGGAUAGACAUAAAAUUCUAAUGCAAUAAUUUAGGAAACAAAUCUAAAUAGUACAAUUAGCUGAUUUACACCUAAUUGGAGAAUUUUUAAAUGGGGGAUCCUUUCCAGGGCCCAAGAUUUGAUAUGAAAGAAUAAAUUCAAUAAAAAUGAACUGGCAUCAUCUUUAAUUCCUUAUAUUAUUAAGCUCAUGAAAUGUUAUAAUUAAUUAGUACUCUAAUAGUCUGAAAUGUUCUCUCGGGUUGAAAUAUAUUAAUGGUAUAGAGGGCACUUGUAUCCCCUCUCAUUUAUCUAGUUAUAGUUUCAUAUAUUUUUAUUUAGGUGGAGGUUAUCUUUAUGUAAUUGGUUGCAAUUAGUUUUUUUAGAAUUUGUUCGAUUGUAUUAUCUUCUAUGUGCACACGAACUAUAAAUUUCACUUAUAAGGGGCGGAUUUAGCUUUAAGGUUAUGGGUCCCGUGAACCCAGUAAUUUUUGUUCAAAUCAUGUAUUUGUAUUAAAAAAUUGACUAAAUAUCUAUAAAUAUUUGAUUGGGAACCCAAUUAUUAUUGUAUAUAUAUAACUCGAGAUUGUUGUAGAAACCCAUAUCUUGAAUCCGCUUCUACAGUUAUAAAUACAAGUUAAAAUAGUUAUGAGCAUGGCUCACGAUUUGAUCCUUCAAUCUUUGACUUUCAUCUUUGUACCACAACAUGCGAAGUCAUGGGUUCAAGUCUUUCUAACUUCGUGUUACUAGAAAAGGAAACUUUGAAAUUUAACAAAAAUCAGAAAGUAAACCCUUUAAGCUCCAUCCAUUAAUCUAAGUUGUAAAAGUUUUCAUAUGUUUCUUCAUCUUUUCUUUUGGCUUUGAAUGAGUUGGAACUGACCCCAAUUGUAUUCAUUUAGUUCUGCAACCUUGUUUUUUAUCCAACAUUGUGUCAAAUUUUGUUAUAUUGAGUUACAUAAAAUACUUCUUUUACUUUAAAGAAAAACAAAGCUUUAGGUACAGUGAUUUGUUCACUACUUUUGUCUAUCAAAAGUGCAAAGCAAGAAGCACAACAGGGACCAAAGCAAAAUGCAAAAAAGAACUCACUCUAAAAACACUCCAGCUCACUAGUGAUAUUAUCUGUUUUGGUUUAGGCCGGCACGACUUUAAAAUACUCACUAGUGAUAUUAACUGCUUUGAACCACGUCAUUAGGGUCUAAAAUUUAUUUACUUAUAUACGAAGCAUUUCUCCCGUAUUUUAUUGAUGUAGAAUUCGUCUUGAAUGUCACCAAGCCAGGGUUAAUUAAAACUAGGAGAAGAAUCUCUCCACUUCCUAUUGCUACUACCUUUCACUUACUCCAAUUAUUCUUCCUUAGAUUUGAUUCUUAUUCUUUUCUCCUGUUUAUUAUAAAGUUUGCAUAAAAUAUAUAGCAGAAAAAGUUAUCUUGUACAACUUUAGGGAUACCAAUAUCACCAAAACUCCUUGAAAAAGUAAAGAAACCACAAAAGGAGUAAUUUACCACAUGGGUGCAUGGAUUGUGAUAAAACAAGAGGUACUUCAAAUUUUUCACUUUCCUUGUCACCUUACUACUUUUACAAAUAAUUUUCUCUCUCACACCCCCCUUUCAUUUAAAACAAAAGGUACUUUUACUACUUGUCCAAUACCUAUAGUAUAACUACUCAUUUCAAAUCAUUUUCUCAAAUCCAUUAAAAAUAUGUAUCAAUUAAUAUGAAUAUUAUGGUAAAUUCUGCACUUUAUUUAUUAUUUUUUAAGGGGCGUGCAAAGUCAAUAAUAGACUAGUAAAAGUGAACAGAGGGAGUAAAUACUAAACAAGAUGCAUGUUACGUGUGCUUAGUUUGUGCCUUUUGCUUAUACAUAUACUCCUAUUAUAGUAAGUAAUCAUUUCUAUUUACCAUCGUUUAAGUUUAAACAUUUCAAUUAACUGUAGCAUAAAAACUUUACCUUCGCUGAAUUUUGAUCCUUAAAGAUCUUACUCAUUAAUGGUAAAAAAUCAGCUAGUGGAAGCUGGCCUCUUAGGAAAAAUAGCUUAAGAGUUAAGACUAUGUACAAUAAAUGUAAUAUGAUCCGCUCUUUCUUGAACUUGGUGCACAACAUGAGCUUAGUCUACCGAGUGCCUUUUUAUCGGUAAGAAUUAACCACUUAAUUCUCAAAAAGAAUUUUAGUCCGGUGCAUGAAAUAUCCCAUAUUCAUGCAGGGUCGAGAAAGGGCGGCAGCCCAGGGUAUGAUAUAAGCAGUUUACCAUGAUGCAAGCAUUAAUGGCUAAUUCUACUGCCCAAACCCGUAACUUAUAAUCACACGAAGACUAUCUACCGUUGUUCUAAGGCUCACCUUUAAUAAUUCUCGAUUUCUGUUGGGCAAUUAAUGAGAUUGAUGACCAUAUCAUUACUUAUAAACGGUAGCAUAGUUAAAAAAAAUCUGGUUCUCCUAUCCAAGUAAAAAUCUUUUUUUUUUUUUUUUUUUUUUUUGGAAAUCAUGAUCAUGUGAUGAGUGCAACCAUUCAAAGAGCAAGCAAUUGACACCUGAAAGACAAUGUUUAGCAAAUGUGUAUGAUUAUGAAAACACAAGGAAGAAGGAAUGGUCGAUCAAUUAUUUGUAUUUGGCCUAACUUUUGUCAAUAUUUAGCCAGCUAGAUUCAUGUUCAAAAUUAAUAAAGUUUUAGUUCCAUUAAGCUGCAGUAGCAUAUGUCUAUUUAUUAUUAACAGUUGUUUCGAGACUCAAAUAUAUGGGCCACCUUAGAAGCUGGAAUACUACAAAUUAUAUAUAACACUUGUUUUUGGAAUGCGAAUCUUCUAAAAUCUUGGCAAUACUUAUCUUGUUUUGCCUUGUUUUUGUGUCUUUUUGUCAUUAUAGGUGUGCCUUAUAUUUCAAACUUCUAUGUUUAAGCUUAAGAAAAUUUGAAAAGAAAAAAAAAACCACGUUUUGCCUCCUAAUCAUAGCUUAACCCUUUCAUCUGUAGGUUCUCUUAAAGAUUAAUUCAAUCACAUGCUAAACUUGAUUAAUAAUUGACAUACUAAACUUGAAAUUGAUAAGUAGCGGAGAUCGAAUUAUUCAAAAAUAAUGUAUUUUCAGAGGCUUUGACGAAGAUGCAAUGACAUCCGUAAAGGAAUGGAGAUGAAUACAUUAAUAUUUUUGAAAUUUUUUAACAACAUAAAACUUAUGCUUUAGAUUCUGAGAUAUUUUCUUGAGCCGAAGGUCUAUCAAAAACAAUCUAUCUAUAUGCAAAAGAUACGGAUAACAUUUGCGUACAAAUUACCUUCACCAAAUCGUAUGAAAUUAUAAUGAAUAUGUUGUUGUAUUCUGAGAUAUUUUCUGUGAUAGAGAACAUUAAAUCCAAAAGCUUUAAUCUUCAAAUUAACUUGGUCGGAGUUGGAUGAGACCUGAUGAAUGAAAUGAUACGAUUUGUUUAAUUCUCCAAUAAAUCAUGAAUAGUAGAUUAACUGAUUAAGUGAGUCAGAGUACACAAACCAAAUGUCAAUCAGAAUAAACAAGAAAAGAAAUCAAGAAGUCUAGUCAGCCCAGACAAGUGGCAUUGCAUGUUGAAUAAUGAGAGGAUCCAAACUAAAGGGCAAAAAUAAGAAAGACGGUAAAAUUAAAACAGUGAACAAAAUGGACAAAAACAGUGACAAAUUAAAACGAUUCACUGGUGUGAUGUUUGCACAGUGAGUGCGUUAUUUGUUGGUUAUAUAGAAUAUUAUUAUAAUGACAAGUGAUUGAAUAAAUGUGGCUAUGUCCUACCAUGUACCCAAUUAAUGAAACCCUAUAGACUCUGAUAUAUGAUUGGCCAAAGCCUUUCAUUUGGAUUCUUGGUUAAAGUUAAUAUAUAUAUAUGUGUAAAAAGUCGUUUUACGUUAUCAACGCAGUUUAGUUAAUGAUAAUAAGAUGAAAAUAGCAUGGGUUUUUGGAUUGGUAAUUGAAAAAUAGUCAGCAUUUGUAUAGUCAAAGAAAAAUAACCACUGUUUUGCUAAAACACAUAAAGUUAAGCAUAAUAUGCUGGAUUAUGGAGCUCAUGCGUAUAAAUUUUCAGCAUAUUAUGUUGUUGGACUCCAACACACGGAAAGUUCCAGCAUACUAUGCUGGAUUAUGGAGCUCUUGCAUAUAAAUUUUCAACACAUUAUGUUGGAACUUCAGCAUAUUAUGAAAUUCCAGUAUACUAUGCUAGAAUCUCAUAUGUAAAAUUUUCGAACUUCAGCAUAGUAUGCUGGAAUUUUUUCAGAUUUUUAAGGGUGUUUCUGUUCACAUGUUAUCUUUACAUAAAAAAGUGGUUAAAUUUCGAUUACUCUUAAACUGUGACCAUUUUUUAAGUAUCACUUGUAAAUCUAACUAGGUAAGAAAACCUAAUAUUUAGGAAUUUAAAUCAAUAAAUAUUUUACCUUAUAUAAGUUAUACUAAUUGAACAUAAUUCCUUUCUGAUGUGCACGUUCUAAUAUGGUGGCUUCAAAUGAUUUUCAAUCAAAAACUUAAAUAAUGGGAACAUAAAAUCAUAGAUUAAAUUAAAAGUAUUUAAUACAAUAAUGUAUAAACUAAAAUUGUUUUAACGCGAAACAAUCAAAUAUGCAUUUUAAAUAUUCUUAUUUUAAUCAAAUAAAAUAUUUAAUCCAUGUUCAAAUAAGCACCCAAAAUGAUUAUUUGAUGCCUUAUAUAAUCAUAUUAACUAGUACAAGCCUAAAUUUAUAUAAUAAAAACACGAAACCUCAACAUGAAAUGUAAUUAAAUUUGUAUCCUUUAAAAAUAAAUUUCAUAGUGAAUAAAAAUGUAAUAUAAAUAUUUAAGACUAGAAUUAAUUAAAAGUUUGCUUAUUAAUUUUUUUUUAUGUGAACUAUGUAGGAAAUCCAAAUAUUUAGGACUUUCAAAUGAAUUAUAUAUAAAAAAAAAUAUCUAAAUUAAUAUGUGCACAAACACAAUUAGUGAAUUCAAUAAGUUUUUAUAGUAAUUUGUUCGUUCUAUAACUUAUGUUUUAAUGCCCACGCAUGUUUCGACAAUGUAAUAUAAAUCAUAAAUUCUUUUUUUUUUAACAAUUAAAACCUCACUACAUGGAUAAUAUCAAAACCUUUGAACGGAGAUAAAUUGAGAAAACAUAUGAUUCAUAUUUUUAAAAUAUGUUAUUCAAUAAAUCUUUAAAGAAUCGGAAUAAAAGUCUAUACCUUGUUUGUGUCUUCUCGAAUGAACUUGAGAAUAGCUUUUUAAAAAAUUGAAAUAAUCUGAAAUCUUCAAGAGCUAUGCAUUCUUAUUGAAACUAACAAAAAAGCACGAUAACUCAUGAAAUUAAAAUGACAAAACUAUAAAUUGGAACAUAAUUAAAAGUAAAUAUAUUGAAUAAUGUUUGAGGGCUCUUAUGAACAAAGUUUUUUCUUUUAUUGUAUUAGUUAUAGAGGAUCAAUAGUCAUCAAUUUCAACAGCUUAUACUUUAUUUAUAACUCAAACAUAAUUUAAAACAUAUAUAAUUUUCUUACAAAAUAUUACUCAUUGAGACGGGGAACACGCGCAUCGCCCGUACACCAAAACUAGUAAUUAAAAUAUAGCCACAGUUUCAAAAGUAAUUGAAAUUUAGCCAUUUUUUCAUGUAAAGAUAAAAUCUGAACAAAAACACCCUUAAAAAUUCUGAAAAAUUCCAGCAUAAUAUGCUAGCCGCUAGGGUUCGAAUUUUUUACAUAUGAGAUUCCAGUAUAAUAUGUUGAAAUUUCAUAAUGUAUUUGAGUUUCGACAUAAUAUGCAGGGGAAGUUUAAAAAAGGAGGAACUUCAUAAUCCAGCAUAUUUUGCUGGAAUUUUUCAUGUUUCAGGAAAACAGUGACUAUUUUUUAAUGACUUUGCAAACGCUGACGAUUUUUUCGAUUACCAAUCCGAAAACUAACUAGCCCGUGCUAUUUUCACAAUAGUAUUUGGUGCAAGAAAAUCUAAGAGUGUAGUAUAGUAGCUAGAAAGUCCAUUAUUAUAGAAUAAUUAUAGGACUAGGGCACCACUGCCAGUUGCCCACAUCAUGAUUGUGAUUAAUUGGGACCAUUUUUAUUCAAUCUUUUAAUGUUUUAUUAUAACUACUCAUUGUUCAAUAAGUCUUGACUUAGUUUCUUUUGAUGGGGUAUAUCCACUCCUUUUAUCUUUCCGAGUUCUGUUCAUACAAAUUAUAGAGGUGCAAGUUGCAACAAUUAACACAUGAUAAAAGAAAAGGUCGUCACGUACAUGAAAGUUAUUGUGCAGAGUCUUAUUUUGUAUUUUUUAAGAGACUAUUUUAGCUAUUUGAACUCGUAACCUUCUAAUCACACGUAACAAUUCUAAUCACACGUAACAAUUCUAAUCGUUGUUUCAACGCUCCGUUCAGGCAUUAGUUUCAUUGGACAAGAUUUAUUCAAUUUUAUUCACAUUAGAAUAAAAAUGAAUAUAAGCAUUGGUGAUGCAAGUUGUCUCUGUGUUACCUAUAUGUCACGGGUUCGGCGACUGAUUAGGGUAGACUGCCCACAUCACACCCCUUAAGAUGUGGCCCUUUUCCGGAUCCAACGUAAAUACUUUGUGCACAGGGCUGCCCUUUUUACUGAUGCAAGAUCGUAUCUAUUAGUUUAGUAAUCAGAUUUUCCUCCAGAAAAUUUGUUACGCCGCCUCUAAUCCAGAGGAAAACUAUAACUUGGACGAAUCAACAGAUUUCAUGUGACUGAAAAGUCAAUACUGUUUUUCUGAUGAUUACAAAAAUAUAAAAUAAAAAUACAUAAAAAUUGGUUUUCAUAAGCUUGAUCAAAUAACUCGUGCCAAAGAAAAAAGAAAGGAAAAGAUUUAAUGGUGGGCUUACAGUGAUUAAAUAUGUGGAACAGACCAAGUCAUAGCCACUUCACAAUUCAGUAGAGCUCAUCUUUGUUGACUAUCAAACUCCAAAAGCCCAGAAAACCUAAAUCCUGCACAACAUUUGCAUGCUAGACUCAAAAUCAUAAUAAAAAAUAUAUACUCAAAUGUGAUUUUUUAAAGCAUAUUCAGUACUCUAGCAAGCUAAGGCACAAGAAAGAAGUAAAACUUAGCAUUAUACUCUAAUUUUACCGGCAAAAACUUCUAUGCUUGUGACAACAUUUCCUCUUCUUUUUUUUUUCCCUGAAACAAAGUUUAUAUUAUUGCAAUAAGGAUAUUCAUGUCCAAAGGAGUGUACUGCAUCAUUUACGAGCCAACUUGGGAUUAUUCAUGUCCAAAGGAACACAUCAGACAUCAUCUCGAUACAGCAAAAUGGCUUCUGAUGAUCUUAGGAUUAUCUGUUUGAUCCCAGAAUUCCUCAUCCCACGGCUUCCCACCAAUUCCAACAGCACAUGGAGCUUUGUGUCUCACUUCUGCUAGACUACCUGAGAAAGACCAAACAAAGAAGGAAGAAUCAGAGAAACAAUUUUUUUUACAUUGUGCAUUGAUCAAAAAGGGAGCCUUGGCGUAACGGAUAAAGUUGCUGCCAUGUAACCGGGAGUUCACGGGUUCGGGCCGCGAAAAAAGCCUAAGGCUGCGUACUAUAGACCCUUGUAGUCCGGCCCUUCCCCCGAUCCCGCGCAUAGCGGGAGCUUAGUGCACCGGGUUGCCCUUUUGUGCUUUGGUCACUCCAUAUGGAUGUAGGUGUUCUAUUGACUAGACUAAAACUUUUACCUGUUCAAGGGGCGAUGCAUAGAAGUUCCCAGCUGAAUUACCCUUCUGUUAUAGUCUUAUAGAGGCAGCAUCAACACAUGAAAGGGAUACUAGAGGUACAUAUGCUGUGAAAAGGAACUCAUUACACUCAGAUCAGCCACUGCAAUGUGUAUUUUGCAGAAAAGAUAGAAAACUCACUCAGUCUGAGGAGAGCUGUGAGUGUAAACCUUCAAGUCCCUGGAUUGAGAAUGAAAAGCUGGUGACUGAACGCAUAAGAAUUUCCUGAUCAUGGAAGAUAUUUAGUUGGAUUUCUAACUCAGGGAAGGUCAAUUCCACAGAGAUAAAUACUUCAUAGAGAGUUUUCCUCUCAAUUCUACACUAGUAAAAGAAUAAUUCUUUUAGGAAUGCUAAUAAAACCACUCCCUAUCACUGUUAAAUUAUCCAACUGCAGGGAGCGUAUUCAUUGCCUUGGUACAUAAACUCAUACAUUUCUCCCCCGAGGAAAGUAUAAUAGUAGACAGCAUCAGUGGCACAAAAUAUGCAAGGCACAAGUACUUGUAGCGAGAGUGGAGACUGACUGAGAAUUACUAUAUAUCCCAAAGUCGUCAAUGGAAAACUUAAGCAGUCGAAAUAGGUAUAUCAUUCAUAAAAUAUGUGAAGAAUAUGCAACAAAAAAGUUGACGCUGAGCAUGUAAACAACAAAUGUAUUGUAAUACUCAAAUAUUGAAUCAUUGGUGUAAAAUUUCCAGCAGGUUAAAGAAUAUUGUUACUUCACUUUCACCAACAAAAUCAGCUCUUAAAUCUUGCUUUUGUUAUUUUCCUUUAAAGUUAAACUAAGAAAACUCGAAUCUCUAAUUAAGAAUAAAGACUAGCUCAAGAAUAUUAUUUUUUAAUUGGUGGAUCAUGGUAAUGUAAGGGCCAGCUUGUGCACCCUCAACUAUUCCGUAGGAAUACUAGGUAAAUUUGCCCCCAUCAAAGCUUAGACAGAGGGAAAUAUAUCGCCUAGCUUUAUUUUACCAUCACCGAGAGUUGAACCCUGGUCUCUGAUGAUCUUCGCUCCAACAUCAUUGACUGCAAGACACACCCUUGGGAUCCACAUACAAAGGCUAGCUCGGUCCUCAUACAAGUAGGAAAAAGUACAUGAUCUCAGAUGAACACUUGGUAAGAAGAAAGACUAUCUGUUUAGCAUAUGUACAAUAUGAUACAGGGCCUAUCGACUAGUGUCAUUAUCCAGAUUUCUCUCAACCAUUUACAAGACCUCUGACCAUAACAAAGAAGCUUCAUACAUACAGCAAUACAGCAUUUGAGUGGCUAUGGUUUGGACCAUCAUCUGUACAUUGUCAAAGGGAUCCUCUUUAUUUCAUGCAAAACUUUUCUUCAGAAAAAUGUGGACGUAUCAAUUCCUUGGAGAAGAGGAGACUUAUCUGAAAGAAAAUGACUGUCAUGAUCACCUACCUACCAAUAAUUGCCACAGGAACAAUAACCAUCUUUAAAGUGAUGCAAGCACUUAGAAUCAUGUAUAUAUAUUUCACGUUCAUAUUCCUGAGAAAUACAUUUGGCAGUCCUAUGGCAAUCUUCACACAUUCUGAGGUUCUUAACAAUUCGGAUCACUCGAGAUGAUUGAGGAUUGUUAAUGAGAGCAAAAGAAAGUGCAAGUUUCUCACUAUGAACUCUACUAAUAUCUUCCUUCUCCUCUUCUCUGAUGCAGAGCCUAUUGCAAGGACUGGAUCCCUCCAUUUUUACUUCUUUUCUUUUUAUCCAAGAAUCUGGAACCUCAGAAUUGCUCUGCUGACCUGAAGCAAAAGCAUGCACCACGUUGUUGAUCUCUGUCCAGCUCCAACUAAGAGAUUCUUCACAAUGAUUUCUUUUUCUAGGUCUCAGCACAGUUACUGAUUCUUCAGAAAUCCCACGUAGAGCAUACAACUGUAAGAGCAACUGAUAAAUCACUACAUUUCCUGAAUCCAGUUUGAGUAAUUGUUCCCCAGCAUGGAUAGCUAAAGUCAAAUUACCGUGCACGCGAGAAGCAGUCAGCAAUGCACCCCAUAAAGAAAUAUCACGCUCCACGAUCAUAUUGUCUAUAAAUUCAAUUGCUUCUUCAAGUUUACCUGAACGACCAUAUAAAUUAACCAUAGCCACACAAUGUUCUAGACCUGGUACAAUCUGAUACUCUUCGGAUAUGCUAGAGAACACACUCUUCCCCUCAUCAACCAUUUUGGCUAGACCAUAAGAUGAAAUCACACUCGAGAAAGUACCCCUGUUUGGUUUAAGACCUGCCUCUUUCAUUUGAUGAAAUAGCUUUAUUGCCUCACUAGAACAGCCAUGUAAAACAUAACCAGCAAUCAAUGUGUUCCAGGAAAUGAUAUCUUUGGUUGACAUCCCAUCAAAUAUUGCUUUCGAGUAUUUUAUGCCCCCAGACUUGGAAUAUGUGUCUAUAAGAGAAUUAGCAACGGAGAGCUCAUUUUCCAGAUUGCAACGCAGAACACAACAAUGUAUCUCUUUCACCUUCUUUGCAGCAAUUAAGUUUGCACAAGCUGGUAGAAUGGACAAAAUGGUAACUGCGUUGGGCUUAAAACCAAAUGACUGCAUUUUCCGAAAAAUGCCCAAUGCUUUGUCCUUCUGUCCAUUUUGCAAAUAGCCAGCGAUGAGAGCGUUCCAUGAGGCAGUAUCCUGCUCAAUGCUCCCGUCCUUCUCCAUCCUCCAGAACAGAUCCAAUGCUUGAUCCUCAUCACCUUUUUGCAUGUGUCCUGUAAUCAUAACAUUCCACGUGAUAACAUUAGGUGAUACCUCAGAAUCAUGCAUCUUCGUAAAAAGAUCAUGGGCUUUUCCAAAGUACCCGGCUUGGCAGUACCCUCCAAUCAUGGAAUUCCAACUGUAGACAUCUCUCUCUGGGAUCAUAUCAAAGACCAACCGAGCAGCUUCAAGUUUACCACAUUUGGAAUAUAAGUCAACCAAAGCAUUCCCAACAAUUACCUCUCCAUCAAAUCCCAACUUUGCAACCAAAGAGUGAAGUUCUCUUCCCUUCUUCAGGUCUUUAAGAGACGCACAAGCUGAAAUUAUGCUUGUAAGUGUUACUUCACUUGGUGUGACUCCAUUGGAACUCAUCUCCCGGAACAAUUCUAAUGCCUGACUGUUCCUGUUAUGUUGAGCCAAACCUGAAAUCAUACACGUCCAAGUGAAAACAUCCGCCAUUAUCCCAUUACCCUCCAUCUCCUUCAUAACUUCCAGCGCCUCAUCACACUUGCCUAACUGAUUAUAGCUAGCUAUCAAUGUAUUCCAGGUGAUCAAACCUGGUUCUACGCCUUCAAGAUGCAUUAAGUCCAAUAACCUCCGCGCCUCCACAAUCUCACUCUUGUGACAAUACGCCAUUAUAAUCGAAUUCCAAGACACUGUAUCCCUUUUCUCCAUACUCUCGAAAAGCCUCUUUGCACAAACUAACAACCCACAUUUUGCAUAAACAGCUAGAAGCGAGUUAUUCACACGGAUUUCAGAACUCAUUCCAUAUCGAAUCGCUAUAGAAUGAAUCAACUUUCCAGUCUCAAUAUCCCCACAAUUCCCACAAGCUUGUAAAAUCUUAGGGAACAAAAAGCUAUCAGGUACAACACCAUCCUCCAUCAUCAUGUAAAAAAGGUCCACAACUUCACCCCACCUACUAUCUCUUGAACAAGCACCGAUCAUAGCAGACCAAGCAAAUAAAUCCCUCUCACGCAUUUCAUCAAACAAUUGGUAUGCUUCUUGUAAAGACCCACAUUUCGAAUACAUCCCUAACAACUUAGUUUCAAUAAAAGGGUCAACUUUUUUCAGUAAAAAUUUCAUCUUUUUAUGAAGUUUACGUCCCAAAUGUAGUGACUUCGAAUUGAUGCAAGAUUCUAUAACUUUUGAGAAAGUUUCGGGUUUUACCUUAUACCCAUAUUGUGAAAUCGAUUCUAAAGCUGUUAUGGCUUCACUGAGGCGCCCAUUUGUGCAGAGAUAAUUCAAAUGCGUAUCUGUGAAUCUUGGUUCAUAAUUGAUAGGUGCUUUUGAUUUUGGGUGAUAAUUUUGGGGCAAUUCUGAAAUUGUCGGAAAAAUUGAUUUGCAAGGAAGAAUUACACUCUCCAUUGGAGAGUGCUUAAUUUUUCUUUUUCCUUUUUUCUUUCUUGUUGGAGUUACGAUUAAUUUGUUCUUGGUGAAGAGUAACUGAUCAUUGAGUUACAGAUAGCCACAGGAGCUGACAUGAUUCUCUGUGAUCACUUUUUAUUGCGUGUCCCCUUUCAACCAAUCAGAAAUUGACAACUCGGAUUAUCCAGAAAAUGGCCAACUUGGAUUAUCCAUAACUAGGCUCAAUUGGGCCAACACUUCUGCUUUAUUUUGAACUCAACUUUAGUAUGUGGGCCUACAGCGUUUUAAGACAGAUUUAGUUGAAUGGACUUAUUUGGAAGAAUUCAGGUAGAAAUGAUACCAGGUAACCAUUUUAUAGGACUACUAUUUAAGAAUUAGCCAAUAUAUGUUGAAUUUCAUUUUUCUCGUUCAAUUUUUAGGGAUACAAAUGUCCUUGUCCUGAAAUAAAAAUUUUAGUUCAAAUUCUCAAGACAAAAUAAGCACUGAUUAAUUCCUAAAUAGCAGCCCUAAGAAUGACCGUUUGUGUACUCCUCCUGAAUCAGUCAGAGGCAACGAGCGGAAACCUUUCGAACCGAACUCGACUUCGACCUCUUCGGGCUAGUAUUUUGGGCUAUCUUUUAAAUUGAGUUUGAAGCUUUUAGAUUUGAUUUUUGGUGUGAUUUAGCUCCUGUUUUUAAGGUAUUUUUUUUAAACAAGGUAAUGAAUGACUAUAUGUUUUUUUUUUGGUUGAAAGAAAUAGAUAGAAAGAAUAAAACUAGUAGAAAUUCUCUUUAGCAUAGAAGAAGAAAAUUUGUUUUCUCUUAAUAUUCUUCCCUCUUCUCUUCUCUUCUUUUCUUCAAAUAUUUCUCUUCCCUUGGUUUUGUGGUAGUCUGGCUUCACAUUCAUACUUCACAAGGUCAAAAGGAAGCGUUGAAAUGUCUUCAAAAAUUCCUCUGCCAAUAGUUCCUAUUCCAGAGGAUAGUCCGAUCUCGGCCAUCCCAACUUCUGAGUCAGUAACGACUGAGGAAAAUAGAAUUCUGCGUCUCCGCAUGAUGGAAAUGUGGGAGGAAAAUAUUUUUGGAAUUUUUUUUUGAAAAUUAUGGGCCGGAACCGAUGAGGUUUGCCUACGUAUCUCACAUCUGGUGAGAAUCAGACCCGCGUAGUUCGCCAGUUCUGACAGAACAUGGCAGUUGAAAACUUUGGCUCAUUUGGAGAUGAUUUUUUUUUUCCGGAAUUUCGGCAGAGUUUCAGAAUUUUCUAAAUACCUACCUCUCACUCCUAUAUUAUUAUUAUUCUAAAUAAUUAAUCACAUCUUCUUUUCUAAAGCAGGCCUAAUCUUUUCUCCCCAGCAGAGUCGCCAGAGCUGUCACACCUCCUUUUUACACAANNNNNNNNNNNNNNNNNNNNNAUACAAAUCAAAAGGAUAUACGGUAAAAGAAAAAUAAUGGAAACAUUGGUUAAGAGAAGAAUGAACCUUUUAUAGAUGAAGAUCUUAUUCAAUACAUAUGGAGCAAACAACCAUCAAAUUUAAUGUGCAAAUGAACCACAAUCAGAGGCAACGAGCGGAAACCUUUCGAACCGAACUCGACUUCGACCUCUUCGGGCUAGUAUUUUAGGCUAUCUUUUAAAUUGAGUUUGAAGCUUUUGGAUUUGAUUUUUGGUGUGAUUUAGCUCCUGUUUUUGAGGUAUUUUUUUUAAAACAAGGUAAUGAAUGGCUAUAUGUUUUUUUUUUGUUGAAAGAAAUAGGUAGAAAGAAUAAAACUAGUAGAAAUUCUCUUUAGCAUAGAAGAAAAAAAUUUGUUUUCUCUCAAUAUUCUUCCCUCUUCUUUUCUCUUCUUUUCUUCAAAUAUUUCUCUUCUAUUUAUAGGAGAAUUUUCAAAAAAAAUCAGAUUUUUUUAAAUUUUUUUAUUUUUUCAUUUAAAAGAAAUCCCACUUACGUUUUGCUUUUCUUUUUUUAUAAAAAGAAUUACCACAUUUCUUUACUUUUAUUUUUUAAAUUCCAACUUUAAUUACUUUUAUCUUAUUAAUCCCAAUUUUUUUAUUUUUUUAAAAGAGAAUUCCACUUAUUUUACUUUUCUUAAAAAAACAAUCCACUUUCUUUUACUUUUCUUUAAAAUAUUCUACUUCAUAUUAAUUUAAAUUUUUUAAAAUUUUCAGCUACCUUUAUAUUAUUUUUUAAUUCUAACUUUCUUUUACUUUUAUUUUUAUAAAUUUCCACAAAACUUUACUUUUAUUUUUUUAAAUUUUUCACUUUCUUUUACUUUUUUAAAAGAGAAUUCCACCUACUUUUACUUCUUUUUUUUUUAAUUCCAUACUUCCCUUUUUCUUAUUUUUUUUAAAUCUCUCCCGAAAAUUUUAAAAAAAAGUUAAUAUUUUUCGUAUUUUUUAUUAUUAUUUAAAAAUAAGAAUAAAAAUAAAAUAAUAUUAAUAGUAAUAAUUUAUCUUCUAAAAUUUUGUAUUUUUAACCUAUAAUAAAAAGUAUAACAAAACUAAAAAUUUGUAUGUUAAAACCCCCUAAAAUAUUUACAUAGAAGAAGUGACAAAAAAAAAUUAAAUAUUGUCAAAAAUUAGGUGCUCACAGUCCCCAUAGGCCUUGAAAACCAUGUUAGCCCGAUUUUGGAUUUUAGUGUUGUAGCCCGUAGAUUAUGGUAAAAAUAGCACAGGCUAGCCAAUUUUCGAACUGGCCAUUCAAAAAUAGCCAGCGUUUGCAAAGUCAUCGAAACAUAGCCACUAUUUUGCUGCAACACAAAAAGUUCCAACAUAAUAUACUGGAGAUAGGUGCAUCUGCGUAUGAACGUUCCAGCAUAUUAUGUUGGAACUCCAACAUGCGGGAAGUUCCAGUAUAUUAUGCUGAACCGGUAUAUUAUACUGGAACUCCAGUAUAUUUCCAGUAUAAUAUACUGGAAUUUUCAGUAUAUUAUACUGGAAUAUUUUUCCGAAUUUUGAAUAGUGUUUUCGUUCAAAUUUAUCUUUACAUGAAAAGUGGUUAAAUUUCGAUUACUUUUGAAACUGUGGCUAUUUUUGAAUGACCACUUGUAAAUCUGACUAUUUUUGAAUUUCUACUUAGAUUAUGUUGUUAUUUACCCGUCAAAUGCUUUUAAAUUUUUCAAAAUAACGAGUAAACUAAUAUGCACUUUUUUUUUUACAUAUGUUAACGAGUAAAUAAGAAUCUGAACAAGUGUAGUCUACUCAUCUCAUGCUGGAGAUCCGUUGAUGAAAAAGGCUAAUACAAUAUAAUAUGACAAUUUCAAGGAUAUGAAUGAGUCGAAAGUAAAAUGAAAGACAAAAUUGAACAAUGUAGAAUAGUACAUGGACAAACCUAGACCCUUUCUCUUAUAUCUAACACUCAAAGUAAAAGAUUAAGGUACUUUUCAUACGGUCGACUAUAUAGAUUAGUUAAGAGUAAUCCUUUUCAUAUGUCUUCCCAAACAAAGUCUUUCAAGCUAGUUGUUGUAUACUAUCGGUAUUAAAAUUCGAUCUCAAACAUAACUUUUCAUCCUCAAGUUGAAGUGGCGACACGGGGAACAUGGGGACGUAAAGAUUGGGUCCUAUCAAAUUGUUUCGUCCUAGGAUAAUAAGCUUAUGAGCUUUGUCACACUUCACUAUCGAGAAAGGAAAAAAGAUUAUUCUAUCUUCAAGUUUUUCUUUUGGUAAUUAAAUUUCUUUAUUUACCAAGUAAAUAUAUACAAGCAGAUCAAAACAAACUAUAGCAAGUUUGGACAGAUGGCCCCAAACUUGCAUCUUCAUCUCCUCUAAUACUUCUAUCCCUAUCACUUUGCGAUGUUAUAUACAGCUUUAAAGGUAAAAGUUCAAUUCAGUCAUCUUCUGCCGUAAUCUAACACAUAAGGUGCUACGACAAUGCACCUCCUGGAUGAUGUGCCUAACUAUACUCAUCGUUGGUUUGCUCUUUCCAUGGAAUAUUCGCAUAUUCCUCUCUAUCCAUAUAGCGUAGAUAGUAGCUGCAAGUGCCAUCCUGUAAAUUUGUGCUUCAGCAGAUUUCCUUUUCCCCUGUUUCUUUGCCCAUUCCUUUUCUAUUUGCCAUGUCAUCGGUUGCCUUACCAAGCCUUGCCACUUCAGAAUAUUCUUCCAUAUAGUAGCUGAUACUAUGCAUUCAAAAAAUAGAUGUUCAAUGGUCUCCGACAUUGCUUUACAAAGCAUACACCUUAAGUCCCCAAUCUGCAUCCAUUGUGCUAAUCUGUCUCGCAUGAGCAGUCUGUUGUUCAGAGCCGGGUACAGUAUGAAAAUCCAUCUAGGUGAUCCUUGGUUAUUGCAUAUGAGUCGUCUCCAUUCCACCUUUUAAAACUCCUCUCUCAAUUUGUUGUAAAUAACCGUCGUAGAGAACUGUUGCAUGCAUUUGACAUCAUCCCCCAUAUAACCUGCAUCAAUAUAAGUUUCUUUAGCCUUCAAUAUCUUCCUCACCAUCCAUGAAGCUUGUGUUGCUUGUGCAUCCCAAACAGCUCCAUCCUUUAUAUAGUAAAUGUUAUCCACUGGACCCAUAGCUUGUCUUUCUUUUGACAUAGAUUCCACAAUAUUUUACAAAUAGCAGCCUUGUUCCAAGUUCUCACAUCCAAGAAAUUGAGUCUUCCUGCUGUCUUGGGGUAACAGAGCUUGUCCCAUGCUAUUAACGCUUUCUUUGUCAUGUCUAUACUUCCAGUCCAAAGAAACUUCUUAUAUAUUGCUUCAAUUGCCUUCACCACUUUUUGUGGCAGAAUGAAUACCUGAGACCAAAACACUUGUAUGAAAAAUAGGAUAGAUUUGAUUAACUGAACUCUACCAGCAUAGCUUAGUAGUUUUGAAGUCCAUGAGGUGACUCUUCCCAUAAUCUUAUCAAGAAGUGGCUUAUAUUGUAAAAUUAUUGUCCUUUUAGUACUCAGAGGGACCCCUAAGUACCUAAAAGGCAUUUCUCCUUUUGCAAAACCCAACACUUGUAUUAUAUUGUUUUGUUCCUCUUCGUGUACUCCUCCAAAAUAAAUGGAACUUUUUUCUAUGUUUGCCUCUAGACCAGAUGCUUUGGAGAACUGUUGAAAGCAGUUAAACACCAUCUUUAUAGACACUAUAUCUCCUCUGCUGAAUAAUAAGAGGUCAUCUGCAAAGCUCAACUGUACAAUGUUCAGUCAUUCACACUUAUGGUGAUAAUUGAAAUCAGGUUGUCUCUUUAGUGUCUUCAAGAUUCUAAGGAGGUACUCCAUUGCUAGCACAAAUAGGAAGGGCGACAUUGGGUUCCCUUGCCUCAAACCUUUUUUUUUGCAGGGAAAAGGGCAGUAGGGUACCCAUUUAUGAUAACUAAAUAUGAAACUGGACUUAUACAUGCCAUAACCCAUUGUACAAAUUGAAUAGGGAAGUGAAGAUGAGUGAGGAUCUGUUCUAUAAAGCAUCACUCAACUGAGUCGUAAGCCUUUCUCAUAUCUAUCUUCAACAUGCACCUCGGUGAUACCCCUUUCCUUCCAUAGCUCUUCACCAAUUCAUAACUCAGUAUUAUAUUGUCAGUGAUCACUCUUCUUGGUACAAAAGCUGACUGACCCGGAUCAACAAUAUCAUUCAUUACCUCUUGCAUUCUAUGUGUCAGUAUUUUUGAGAUGAUCUUGUACAAUAUCGUACAACAAGAUAUAGGCCUAAACUCAGAGAUUCUCGCUGGAUUUUGUACCUUAGGGACCAGUGUUAUGGUAGUGCAGUUAAUGGUUCUGCACAUGACCCUUGUGUCAAAGAAUUCCAGCACUGCUUUAGUAACAUCUUUUCCUACUACCGGCCAGGCUUUUUUAAAGAACCAUGCAUUGAAGUCAUCACACCCAGGUGCUUUAAGGUCAUUUAUGUCUUUGAGAGCUUAGACAACUUCAUAUGAAGUUACAGGUGCAAUGAGGCCUAAUUGUUAUUGUUUAUUCAGUGUUCUUCCUUCCUGCAUAAUCAUGGAAUUUACAGCUGGUAAUUGGCUAGCAGCAGACCCCAGUAGCUUGCAAUAGAAAUCCAUAAUUUCCCUUUUUAUGCCUUCUUGAUCCUGCACCAUGUUCUCCUCAGCAUUUAUUAGACUUUUGAUCUUGUUUUGUGUCAUUCUAUUCUUCAUGUUAGCAAAGAAAAAAAAGCAUUAUUUGAAUCACCUAGUUUUAACCACUGCAUUCGAGCCUUCUGACGGAAUAUGUUUUCCUCUAUAUUGCUCCAUUUCUCUAGCUCUGCUUUAAUUGCUACUUCUUGAUCAAACAAUGUAUGCCCAGGUCCCUCAUUUGAGUUUGCAGGUCUGCUAAUUGUUGUCUUAGCAUACUCACUUUCUCACUUACCCCAUUAAAACCCCGAUUCAAUUUCUUCAUCUCCUGUUUCACUGUUUUCAGCUUCUGCCAUAUUUUAUUCGUACCACUUUCAUUAGUCAUUUGGUUCCAAGAUGCUUCCACAGCCUUAAUGAAGUUCUCAUGAUCAGCUAGACAAUUAAGGAAUCGAAAAGGCCUGGGUCUUCUUUGUAGCUCUUCUUCCAGCUUGCUUCAUAGGGGAGAGUGGUCUAAGAAAUGUGGAUCCAUGAUGUUGGCCUCCAAGUGAUGAUUUUUGAUACACCAUUCUGAGUUUAUCAGUGCUCUAUCAAUCUUGCUAUAGACGUGUGUAUUUGUCCAAGUAUACUCUCUUCCUACUGAUUUCAUUUCAGUCAUUCCAGUAUCAAAGAGAAAGUCACUAAAAUCUUUAGUUUCCAUCCCAGUGACAGGGUUACCAUACUUUCUAUCUUCAAUCUGUAGAACUACAUUGUAAUCACCCAUGACAAGCCAAGGGUCCUGCUGUGAUCUCUGUAUAUUCCUUAAGCCAUCCCACAGUUCUCUCCUAUCUUCUAUUGUGUGCAAACCAUAUACAGUUGUAAACUGAAACUCCAUGGCCAAGUUACACACUUUAAUUUUACCAUGAAUAAAUUGUUCUGCAGUCUGCUCGACAUCAAAUUAACAAUAUAGCUCUCUUCUAUCUCCAAGUUUAACUCAAACAUAGCUCUCUUCUUUCUUUCUUUUUUUGGCGGGGGCGGGGGGGGGGGUAGGGAGGGGUGAAGCAGUAUCAAACUAAAAUACCCAACAAACAUUAGAUCGAACUAAUCCAUUGACACAAAUUAAAUGAUUCAUAGGAAAAAAUUAAGUUAGUUGGGCCCGGAGACAGUGCCAGUUUUCGAAUACGAGAUAAUUAUCCUAGUCACUAUGAGCGUAUUUGCCCAAUAGACAAGUUCUUAAAAUACAUAAAAUUAUAGGAUUUGGCUGUUUCACUAACCUGGUUCAUUUUUAUUUUUUGUUUUGUUUAUUUUUUGUUAAUCUUGUCCUAAAUGAAAGUUUGCCCACUUGCCCAAAAAAGUGAAAUAAUCGAAGACAGAACGUACAAGGAAAGGAAAGGAGUGAAAAUUCCAUCAAAGAUUGAAAAUCGAAGAAUGGAGAGGAACAAACGGCGGAUAAACGGUGUUUGUUGCUGCUUUUACAAGUCUGCAACUAAACUGGUCUCGUAAAUAUUAAUAGCAGACAUUGGAACAAACAGCAAUAUUAUCAGUCAGAAAAAAAUCUCAAACAUCCAUAAAUUUUUAAGGCGUACUGCGUUGCUUGCCCUCUACAAUAUAUAGCUUUGAUUGAACGGUAGGAAUGUAGUUUUAGCAUUAAUACACAAACUGAAUCACAUUUACUCAGCUAUAUAUAUUCGACUGAUUUAAAUCCAUAACAUAUGUCUUUUAGGAAUUGAGGUGCUCUUUAUUUGUAAUCUUUUUGGUAUGUCAAUGGUAAUUCACAAUGGUUACCAAAAAAAAAAGAAUUUAAUAAGUUUAAGCAUAAGGGUAUUUGUUUAAAAUUUUCUUUACACUUAAUUAAGACUCCACUAAUUGGAGCAAUAAGAGUGACUUUGACAAAAACAUGAUAAAUGCUUUUUUUUUAAAAACGUCAAAAAUAUUCUCUAUGUGCAAUAUUUUCUGUUUUGUAAGAAAAUUAUUUAAUAGCCUUAAUCAUAAAAAAUACUUUCUAAAUUAUACUCAUGUUGUAUCUCUCUAUAAACAUCUUAAUUAAAACUUUACUAAUUGAAAUAAUAAUAGUAGACCAGUUUGCCAUAAUGAUAAAUAUUUGGAAGGGGAGAAAGUAGUUAACUAGUUCCUUAAGGUAGCAACUUGAAGCUGCAUAAUAGAAAUUUAAGAUAUUAAAAUGAAGGGAAAACCAGAUCCGAUAUUUGCUCUCUAACAAUAUAAUACUCCCACUGUCACUAAUAUUUCACAGUUUACUAGAGUGGUUAUUGAGCGUUUGAAUUGGUUCAACGAGCCUAAAUUUAAUCCAAACAAAGAUUCCACCGAGACUUUAGAACACAUCUCUUGGCUCUGACAGCUCAACGUAAUUAAUAAGAAGAAUAGAGAUUGAUUUACUGAACUAUGUUGUUUUGCUCCCAAAUUUAUAACUGUUGAAUGUUGAGGGAUACGCUUAAUUGUAUUUGUUGUGUGAGUGAAAUAUUGUUAUGCAUAAUGUGUGCUUAACACGCCUCAGCUAAGUACUAUUCUCCAUAUUUUUCUAACAGUGUGAUGCAGGGGCGUAUGUAGCUUAAGGGAGAGUUCGGAACCAAAAUGUGGUUCUUUUGGACUCAAAGAACGAAAAUAUGUGGAAAAAAAACUCAGUGACCAAAAUACAUAUAGCAUUUUUAGUACCACGCUAUACUUUAACGGCCGUUUGGCCAGUUAAGAAUAGUUUUUUCUUCAAAAAAUGCCAUAUAUAUAGUGUUCUUUAGUAAAAUGCUAUAUAUAUGAAGUGGGCCCAUAAAUAAUUCUUCUGUGCUUAACUGACAUAACGAUAAUUCAACUGGGUAUAACAUUUUUUUAAAAGAUGCUGUACCUCAAAUAAUUGAACCCCCGGACUAGUUUUCGCCUUAUUUAAAGAGGUGAAGGAUUUUGUAAAAAUCCAUUCAUAAACAUUUUCAAGUAUUCUGAAAUUUUUCUUUGUUAAGUUGUUUUGCAUUUUGUCAUAAUGUCUGAAGAGCGAAAAAUUAGGGUUUCAGUAUAUUGAGGGGGUGAGGUUGUGGUGGCGAAUAACUCAGUAAAUUAUAGUUUAUCUCCAUAGUCUUAUGUUAAAUUGUCACUUACAAUAGAGUACGAUAAAUUAGUAUUGUUGAUAUGUAAAAAAAAUGAGUGUGAGCAAACGUUCAGUGAAUCUUAAAAUAAUCGAAAAAUAUCCGUAUUCUGUGACUCCGCAAGGGGUUGCUUGCUAUGUUGAGUUUAACAUCGAAGGCAUGAAACUCCGAGAGAUUUUUUCGGGACUCCGGAUACCGGGAAUUUAAUUUAUUGUGAUAAAGCUGUUGGAAAUGUACGUCAAGGCUGAAGGCGUUCGCAAUAAUGAGGUUGCGCAAAGUAGGAAAAUCCCUCAAUCAUCGGGUGGUUAUUUUGGAGCAGUUUUAGCCGAACAGGUUCCGGCUGAAAGAGUUUGGCCGGAUCUAAAUUUAUCUCCACGGGCGAAUAAGAAGCGAGGAAAUAAUUUCUCCCCUAGUAUACAUAAUCCACAAGCUGAGUGGUAUACUUCAAUUUUCCUUUGUGUUACGAUGUAUAUUUUUGUGUAUUGUAUUUGUAUUAACAUUCAUAUAUUCUACAGGGGGUACCGACCAGAUAUGAAUUUUACAAGUUAUGAACCAACGGCCAAUUGAAAUAUGCCUAGUUUUGGUGUGUUGGAUCAUGAUGGUCCAUCCGGGAGUCAGCAUCAACAAGAUAAUGUGCAUCAUGAGAUAUCAACACAUUAUGAUUUGUAAGUGAAUAUAUAAAGUUAUAUGUAUUGUUUAGACCAAUUUCAGUAACUCAUUAUUUCUUUGGUUGUGCAGUGAAAACGAGCAAUUUGAUGGUCCUAUCUUCACUUAAUUACCUGAAGACGACGUAUUUACUCGGUAUCUGGCAGAUGUGCAGAGGCAGAAAAAGAAUAGUGAUUAUGAAAAUAAUACCGAUGAGUCUGGAGAUGACACACCCUUCCCUGACGAGGGUGAUGAUGAGGAGGAAGAGAAUGCCGGACCUGGUUUGACGAGGAAGCAUGCUCCACCUCCCGUUUGACCAAGAGUGUAUGAGUCCCACGUGUCGUUUCAUGAUGAGAUUUUUUUUUUUUGAUUUUUUACUCAACAAGUCUGUUAUUUUAUAUGUUAGUUUAUUAUUGUAUAUGUUAGUUUUAUUAUUUAAUAUGUUAGUUUUAUUAUUUAAUAUGUCUGUUUGUUUGUUAUUGACUUAUUUUUUACUAUACUAAAAUGAAAUAAUUAAUUUUCAUAACUAUAGAAGAUUUAAUUAUUAAAUAUUCACAUUUUGAUUUCGGACACAAUAUUUGAGGCCUAGCAGCGCCAAUGUAUCAUGAAUUCUUACGUUUGUUGACUAUAAUUGGAGAUAAUUUGUGUUUGAAUAUCAGCUUUUUGACGUCUUUUUGGGAAUAAGAGAUACUUAAAUGAUUCAUUUUUAUAACUACAAGGAUACUACGCUAAAGGGCACUACGUUUUACUACGCUAAAAGGUCACUACAUUACAAAUGCGAACACUACAUUAGGCCACAAGAUACCACUACAGGAAACUAAAGUAAAAAUUUAUCUAGUUUACUAGUCUUUUAGCAAAUUAAUAAUCUAAAUCGGAUAAAAAUAAUAAAUCAAUUUAAUCACAAAACAAUCACGAAAUUACAUAUACCACAGUAAAAAAAUAACUAAUUAAUAUUUUUUUAACAACUAAUAGCAAUUUCUCUAUUUUUUUAGCACACUAAUACUAUAGUCCGGACAAAAAAUAACAAAUUAGUUAAAUCGCAAAACAAUCACAAAGUAACAUAGAGCACAUAAAAAAUAACUAAUAUGCAUUUUUAUACAGGUUUUAACAAAAACUAAGCUGGAAUACCUUGAUUUAAGGUUUUUAAGAAAGUCAAAGAUUGUGAUUUGGAGCCGAAACAAGCAACAAUGUCCGGUAUAACGCCUUAGCUAGCACGUGGGACCGAGAAUCUUUACUUUUUGUGGGACGGGUGGGCUCCACUCAAGCUUUUUUGGAUUAAAAAUUGGGGGGGGGGGGUCGAUUUACUGGGAUUCUGUUUUGGGGAAGAUGGAGACCGUUUUUUAUUAUAUAUAUAGCGUCUUUUGUUAAGACGCUAUAUAUAUAACGCCUUAACAAAAGGCGCUAUAUUUUCUCGCUUAAAUUAAUUCAAAUAUAGCGUCUUUCAAAAAGACGCUAUACUUAAUUGGCCAAAUAGACGUUAAGGUAUAGCGUUUUUCAAAAAAAAAAAACUAUAUAUAUUUUGGUCACUAAGUUUUUUUUCCGUAUAUUUUUGUUCUUUGAGUCCAAAAGAACCGUAAAAAUUGCACGGGGUGCCCUAUUUGGUCGCCUCCAUUUAACCUAUACCCUAAAAACUUUUAAGUUGUACCCACUUUUUAAAUAACUUCAGCCCCUUUUCUCCUCCUCAUUCUCUUCCUUUCUUCUGCUGCUAUUGGCGUAGAUUAUUUUUUAGGUAAAAUUUCUUUUAAACUAUUGGUGCAUAGAAGUUAAAACUUUCUUUUGUACCUUUAUAUGAUUAAAAAAGAAAUUAUUUUCCAUAGUUUCUUUUGUGAGUGAAACUAUCAAGAUACCAUUGUUAAGUGACGACGUCUUUGCAUUUUAAUCGUAUUACGGAGCUCAUUAUUUGUUCUCGCAAUUAGGGAUGAUUAAUUUGCAUUUAUUUACUUCUUUUUUGGGAUUGUUUUGAUAAAUAUUAUUAAGGUGAAAGUUGUUUCUUGUAAAGAUAAAUUGAGUAUGUUAGCACAUAAAAAUUCUUGAGCCCGAUGCUGAGAUUUUACCCCAAAGAUUUUAACAAACUAGCAAGUUGUUUGAUGGAUGGAUCCCCAGCUUAUUUGAGCAGAUCCUAUUCUAAAGCUAGCUUCCAAAUAACUUCAGCUCUAGAGUUGAAGUUCGACAGUUACAAAAUAAAAACUUCAGGUCUAGAGCUGAAGUUCAUCAGUUACAAAAAUAAAAAUUUCAGCUCUAGAGCUGAAGUUCGCUAGUUACAAAUAAAAACUUCAGCUCUAGAGCUGAAGUUCGACAGUUACAAAACAAAAACUUUAGCUCUAGAGCUGAAGCUUACAAACAAAAUCUCCAGUUACAAAUAAAAACUUCAGCUCUAGAGCUGAAGUUCGACAGUUACAAAACAAAAACUUCAGCUCUAGAGCUGAACUUCAGGCCUGACUACUAGAAUGCUGAAGUUUUGCGUGAUUGCCUUUGCUAUUUCAGCCCCGUAUGCUGAAGUUAUGCGAAAAAACGAGUACACUUGCAAUUUUUUUGCAAAGCGAGCACACGUUAAAACGUGACACAAAAAACGGGUAUAUAUGCAAAUGCCCCAAAAGAACCACAUUUUGGACUCCUUAAGGGUUAUGAGUUCACUUGAACUCAUACUCCUUUCCUUAAACAAUGCAUAAUAAUAUUAUAUUUCGUUAAAAUUACUUAAAUAUAUGUGUGUGCACUCAUGCUUAAAAACUCCUAUAGUGUAAGAAUUACUGUGUGUACCUCUACAAGUGAAAUUGAUAGUUCAAAUUCCACUUUGGACGAUCUUGUUUUUGGCACGGAGUAUGUAUAUAUAUAUAUGUGUGUGUGCGCGUGUGAAAAUCACUAAAAUUUCGAAAAUAAUAUAAUUUUGAACCUAUAAUUUCAAAAGUGUAGUGGAUUUAUGGUAAGAAACUAAAGUUAAACCGCCAAAUAUAAAUCCUUGAUAAAUCUCUUCACAAUAGUGCACCUAUCAUCUUGAAAUCUUGCAUUCGCCUGGCGGAACUUAUCUAACAAAACGGUCUUGCCCCCUCCAAACAUUUAAACUAUACGAUUUAGUAGAUGCUUAAUUAAUAUCACGACUCACGUCUGAUUGAGACUAGCAUAGAGACUGCCGUAAAAAUUUAAAUCUCACAUUUCAAUUACUCCUCUAUAAUAAGCACUAAAGUUUAAAGAUCACCCUUUUUUCAGUUAAAGAUGACAUUUGACAAACUAAAAAGAGGUAAAAAGUUAAAAAAGGAGGUAUAACACUAGAUAAAUCUCCAGAUCUCCUUUAACUCGAGAUCCUUGAUUUCGUUUAAAAAUUGUUAAUUUAUUUUGAAUUAAUAUUGUUUAAGGGUCAAAUCUAAUGUAUUCAUUAUGUACGAUACAAUAUUGUCAAAAGAGUGAUAACUAACUUUAAGUAUUGAAUAAUUUCAGCUUUUGAAAUACCAGCUUUUGAAUAAUUAUUAAUUAUUUUCACAUUUUUAGACUCCUACAAGAACACUUUGAUAUUUGUGCGACAAGUGCAAGUGCAUCAGGGUUUUCCUUUUUUGAACUAUACAAUUAGUUGACCAAUUUUUAAAAAAUAUACAGUUAUACUAAGUUUAAACAGUCACAAAACGAUAGUGGGUGCAAUAGUUUUUCCUACAUACUAGUUCAAAUUUUUUUUACUGCCUUGCCAGUAGUUCAAAUACCAGAAAUCAGAUAAACAAAGGUAAAUUAGAUUCAAAAUUUUAAGUUAUGAAGUUGACCUUUGACAAAUAUAUGAUUUUAUUAACUAAAUCACUAACUUUCAUUAGAAAAAUAUCAAAAAGAAGAAGCCUGGAUGCAGCAUCUGUGCCAAUGGUAUCCAAUAUUUUCAACACAUAGCUUGAAUAUAUAUGUGAAAUUAAUGCAAUUUCGACAAAUAUUGAAUUUAAACCUAUAAUUUGAAAAGAACGACUAGUCAAGUGCUAUAUAUUUUUGAAGGUUGAAUUCAUCAAAAUUAAAAUCUGGAUCUGGUUCAAGACAGAGGCGGAUGAAGUGAUUAAGUAUCGGGUUCAGCUGAACCUAGUACUUUCGAUGCAUAACAUAAAAAUAUUAUAACAAAUAUCCCAUAUAUAAAGGUUAUUGACACUUAUUUUUUUGGGGGUGAUCUUGGACAACAUGCACAUGAAAUCGAACGGCAUAGAAAUUGAAAUUACCUAUACUUAUUAUUAUCAUAUGAAACUACACUCUACUUCUAUUAUUUGAGAAGGCUCCUAUUUAUGAACAUAGGACUUAGGGAAACUGCAUUAAUGGCAAGAAGAAUCCAAACAGCACCAUAUAUAGUUGCCAUUCUGCUGAUUACCGUUCUUGACUCGUGUUAUUCCUCUGUUCUUCCACCGUUUCUUCUCAGCUUUAUUUUCAAAAAAAAAACUUCCCUCCUCUUUAGAUUUCUUAUUCAGUGAAAAAAUAGUGAAUAGACAAAAAUGGAGACAAGCUCAGUUUCCAAGUUCUUCAUAGUUUAUACUAUUUCAUUGCUAAUGGUAGCUCAGUUGAUUUGGUGCAAAGUCACUUAUGAUAAGAAGGCCAUUAUUAUUAAUGGCCAAAGAAGAAUUCUUCUUUCUGGCUCCAUACACUAUCCCAGAAUAGGGCUGUAUUUUGUNNNNNNNNNNNNNNNNNNNNNNNNNNNNNNNNNNNNNNNNNNNNNNNNNNNNNNNNNNNNNNNNNNNNNNNNNNNNNNNNNNNNNNNNNNNNNNNNNNNNNNNNNNNNNNNNNNNNNNNNNNNNNNNNNNNNNNNNNNNNNNNNNNNNNNNNNNNNNNNNNNNNNNNNNNNNNNNNNNNNNNNNNNNNNNNNNNNNNNNNNNNNNNNNNNNNNNNNNNNNNNNNNNNNNNNNNNNNNNNNNNNNNNNNNNNNNNNNNNNNNNNNNNNNNNNNNNNNNNNNNNNNNNNNNNNNNNNNNNNNNNNNNNNNNNNNNNNNNNNNNNNNNNNNNNNNNNNNNNNNNNNNNNNNNNNNNNNNNNNNNNNNNNNNNNNNNNNNNNNNNNNNNNNNNNNNNNNNNNNNNNNNNNNNNNNNNNNNNNNNNNNNNNNNNNNNNNNNNNNNNNNNNNNNNNNNNNNNNNNNNNNNNNNNNNNNNNNNNNNNNNNNNNNNNNNNNNNNNNNNNNNNNNNNNNNNNNNNNNNNNNNNNNNNNNNNNNNNNNNNNNNNNNNNNNNNNNNNNNNNNNNNNNNNNNNNNNNNNNNNNNNNNNNNNNNNNNNNNNNNNNNNNNNNNNNNNNNNNNNNNNNNNNNNNNNNNNNNNNNNNNNNNNNNNNNNNNNNNNNNNNNNNNNNNNNNNNNNNNNNNNNNNNNNNNNNNNNNNNNNNNNNNNNNNNNNNNNNNNNNNNNNNNNNNNNNNNNNNNNNNNNNNNNNNNNNNNNNNNNNNNNNNNNNNNNNNNNNNNNNNNNNNNNNNNNNNNNNNNNNNNNNNNNNNNNNNNNNNNNNNNNNNNNNNNNNNNNNNNNNNNNNNNNNNNNNNNNNNNNNNNNNNNNNNNNNNNNNNNNNNNNNNNNNNNNNNNNNNNNNNNNNNNNNNNNNNNNNNNNNNNNNNNNNNNNNNNNNNNNNNNNNNNNNNNNNNNNNNNNNNNNNNNNNNNNNNNNNNNNNNNNNNNNNNNNNNNNNNNNNNNNNNNNNNNNNNNNNNNNNNNNNNNNNNNNNNNNNNNNNNNNNNNNNNNNNNNNNNNNNNNNNNNNNNNNNNNNNNNNNNNNNNNNNNNNNNNNNNNNNNNNNNNNNNNNNNNNNNNNNNNNNNNNNNNNNNNNNNNNNNNNNNNNNNNNNNNNNNNNNNNNNNNNNNNNNNNNNNNNNNNNNNNNNNNNNNNNNNNNNNNNNNNNNNNNNNNNNNNNNNNNNNNNNNNNNNNNNNNNNNNNNNNNNNNNNNNNNNNNNNNNNNNNNNNNNNNNNNNNNNNNNNNNNNNNNNNNNNNNNNNNNNNNNNNNNNNNNNNNNNNNNNNNNNNNNNNNNNNNNNNNNNNNNNNNNNNNNNNNNNNNNNNNNNNNNNNNNNNNNNNNNNNNNNNNNNNNNNNNNNNNNNNNNNNNNNNNNNNNNNNNNNNNNNNNNNNNNNNNNNNNNNNNNNNNNNNNNNNNNNNNNNNNNNNNNNNNNNNNNNNNNNNNNNNNNNNNNNNNNNNNNNNNNNNNNNNNNNNNNNNNNNNNNNNNNNNNNNNNNNNNNNNNNNNNNNNNNNNNNNNNNNNNNNNNNNNNNNNNNNNNNNNNNNNNNNNNNNNNNNNNNNNNNNNNNNNNNNNNNNNNNNNNNNNNNNNNNNNNNNNNNNNNNNNNNNNNNNNNNNNNNNNNNNNNNNNNNNNNNNNNNNNNNNNNNNNNNNNNNNNNNNNNNNNNNNNNNNNNNNNNNNNNNNNNNNNNNNNNNNNNNNNNNNNNNNNNNNNNNNNNNNNNNNNNNNNNNNNNNNNNNNNNNNNNNNNNNNNNNNNNNNNNNNNNNNNNNNNNNNNNNNNNNNNNNNNNNNNNNNNNNNNNNNNNNNNNNNNNNNNNNNNNNNNNNNNNNNNNNNNNNNNNNNNNNNNNNNNNNNNNNNNNNNNNNNNNNNNNNNNNNNNNNNNNNNNNNNNNNNNNNNNNNNNNNNNNNNNNNNNNNNNNNNNNNNNNNNNNNNNNNNNNNNNNNNNNNNNNNNNNNNNNNNNNNNNNNNNNNNNNNNNNNNNNNNNNNNNNNNNNNNNNNNNNNNNNNNNNNNNNNNNNNNNNNNNNNNNNNNNNNNNNNNNNNNNNNNNNNNNNNNNNNNNNNNNNNNNNNNNNNNNNNNNNNNNNNNNNNNNNNNNNNNNNNNNNNNNNNNNNNNNNNNNNNNNNNNNNNNNNNNNNNNNNNNNNNNNNNNNNNNNNNNNNNNNNNNNNNNNNNNNNNNNNNNNNNNNNNNNNNNNNNNNNNNNNNNNNNNNNNNNNNNNNNNNNNNNNNNNNNNNNNNNNNNNNNNNNNNNNNNNNNNNNNNNNNNNNNNNNNNNNNNNNNNNNNNNNNNNNNNNNNNNNNNNNNNNNNNNNNNNNNNNNNNNNNNNNNNNNNNNNNNNNNNNNNNNNNNNNNNNNNNNNNNNNNNNNNNNNNNNNNNNNNNNNNNNNNNNNNNNNNNNNNNNNNNNNNNNNNNNNNNNNNNNNNNNNNNNNNNNNNNNNNNNNNNNNNNNNNNNNNNNNNNNNNNNNNNNNNNNNNNNNNNNNNNNNNNNNNNNNNNNNNNNNNNNNNNNNNNNNNNNNNNNNNNNNNNNNNNNNNNNNNNNNNNNNNNNNNNNNNNNNNNNNNNNNNNNNNNNNNNNNNNNNNNNNNNNNNNNNNNNNNNNNNNNNNNNNNNNNNNNNNNNNNNNNNNNNNNNNNNNNNNNNNNNNNNNNNNNNNNNNNNNNNNNNNNNNNNNNNNNNNNNNNNNNNNNNNNNNNNNNNNNNNNNNNNNNNNNNNNNNNNNNNNNNNNNNNNNNNNNNNNNNNNNNNNNNNNNNNNNNNNNNNNNNNNNNNNNNNNNNNNNNNNNNNNNNNNNNNNNNNNNNNNNNNNNNNNNNNNNNNNNNNNNNNNNNNNNNNNNNNNNNNNNNNNNNNNNNNNNNNNNNNNNNNNNNNNNNNNNNNNNNNNNNNNNNNNNNNNNNNNNNNNNNNNNNNNNNNNNNNNNNNNNNNNNNNNNNNNNNNNNNNNNNNNNNNNNNNNNNNNNNNNNNNNNNNNNNNNNNNNNNNNNNNNNNNNNNNNNNNNNNNNNNNNNNNNNNNNNNNNNNNNNNNNNNNNNNNNNNNNNNNNNNNNNNNNNNNNNNNNNNNNNNNNNNNNNNNNNNNNNNNNNNNNNNNNNNNNNNNNNNNNNNNNNNNNNNNNNNNNNNNNNNNNNNNNNNNNNNNNNNNNNNNNNNNNNNNNNNNNNNNNNNNNNNNNNNNNNNNNNNNNNNNNNNNNNNNNNNNNNNNNNNNNNNNNNNNNNNNNNNNNNNNNNNNNNNNNNNNNNNNNNNNNNNNNNNNNNNNNNNNNNNNNNNNNNNNNNNNNNNNNNNNNNNNNNNNNNNNNNNNNNNNNNNNNNNNNNNNNNNNNNNNNNNNNNNNNNNNNNNNNNNNNNNNNNNNNNNNNNNNNNNNNNNNNNNNNNNNNNNNNNNNNNNNNNNNNNNNNNNNNNNNNNNNNNNNNNNNNNNNNNNNNNNNNNNNNNNNNNNNNNNNNNNNNNNNNNNNNNNNNNNNNNNNNNNNNNNNNNNNNNNNNNNNNNNNNNNNNNNNNNNNNNNNNNNNNNNNNNNNNNNNNNNNNNNNNNNNNNNNNNNNNNNNNNNNNNNNNNNNNNNNNNNNNNNNNNNNNNNNNNNNNNNNNNNNNNNNNNNNNNNNNNNNNNNNNNNNNNNNNNNNNNNNNNNNNNNNNNNNNNNNNNNNNNNNNNNNNNNNNNNNNNNNNNNNNNNNNNNNNNNNNNNNNNNNNNNNNNNNNNNNNNNNNNNNNNNNNNNNNNNNNNNNNNNNNNNNNNNNNNNNNNNNNNNNNNNNNNNNNNNNNNNNNNNNNNNNNNNNNNNNNNNNNNNNNNNNNNNNNNNNNNNNNNNNNNNNNNNNNNNNNNNNNNNNNNNNNNNNNNNNNNNNNNNNNNNNNNNNNNNNNNNNNNNNNNNNNNNNNNNNNNNNNNNNNNNNNNNNNNNNNNNNNNNNNNNNNNNNNNNNNNNNNNNNNNNNNNNNNNNNNNNNNNNNNNNNNNNNNNNNNNNNNNNNNNNNNNNNNNNNGUUAGGACCGCGGGCCCGGUCCGGUCCGGUUCAGGCCCGGCCCACCGAGCAGCAUUAUCCCAGAAGCACCCCUGAGGUACUCUCCCAUUUUCAUAGCCCCCCCCCCCCCCUUCCCUCCCCCUCCCUUUCUUCCCGAUCGUCCUUAAUUGUACCAUGUUCCACCACGCCCCGCAUGUGUUAGCUUGAUUCCUUUUCUUGGUCCAAACACGUGUAAAUUCUUUUUGCUAUGGGUGGCGGAUGAGAUUUGAAUCCGGAAAUGUGCCUUUGCUCUUAUACCAUUUUAGAUUAUGUGUACAUUUAUCUAAAGUUUAAACUGAGAACACACUUUUAAUUAUUUUAAUUGUAUUAUGUCUCAACAGUUUUGCCGAACCCAAGUUGCUUAGGACUGAGGCAUAGUUGUUGUUGUUUAUGUCUCAAUAGUUUUGGCCGACCCCAAGUUGCUUGGGACUAAGGCAUAGUUAUUGUUGUUGUUUAUGUGUCAACAGUUUCCAUUACUAUAUUCUUGGACGGAUAAUGUUACUCUACUAUAUUAAUAAGGAUAAAUUUUAAUUAAAUGGGUGUUUUGCAGAUGUGGGAAGAUCUCAUAAACAAGGCUAAAGAUGCAAACUUGGAUGUCAUUGAAACUUAUGUUUUUUGGAACAUACAUGAACCUUCCCCAGGCAAUGUGAGUGUUUCAAUUUGCCCACAAAGACUUAGCUUCUUACUGCUGAAAGAUGUCACCUUUAUUUCUGCUAGCAUAUUGCUACUAAUAUGCUAUGUUUCUUUUGGACAGUAUGAUUUUGAGGGGAGAUAUGAUCUUGUAAGGUUUAUAAAAACUGUGCAAAAAGCUGGCCUUUAUGCACAUUUGCGCAUUGGACCUUAUGUUUGUGCUGAGUGGAAUUUUGGGUAAUAGAUUGUCUUUCCCCUUUGUUUUUUGUUCCUAGUUCCCCUUGUUAUUUCUUUGAUUUUCUUGGUUAAUUUCAAGAAUGAGUUCAUGAUUCUAUAUAUCUUUCAUCUACUGCAGAGGAUUUCCUGUAUGGUUGAAAUAUGUUCCUGGUAUCAGCUUCAGAACCGAUAAUGAACCUUUUAAGGUUUGUCCGUCAUAACAGUAGAAUCACAAAACUAUCUUUUGUCACAUUAAAGUAACUAAACAUUACCCGUUAUUAUGCAAACAAAGCACCAAUUUUGCCGAUAUUUGAACAUGUUUGUUCGUAGCAUCAUUGUUUCUGUUUGUUUUUGACUCUGAUAAAUAUAAUGUGGUAAUAAAUUGAUAGAUUCUGAUCAUGAGUUGCAGUAAUGACAUUUCAAUUCUUUUUGUUGUAAAGGCGGCGAUGCAAAAAUUCACCCAAAAAAUAGUUGAGAUGAUGAAGAGUGAAAGACUGUUUGAAUCCCAAGGAGGUCCCAUUAUACUGUCUCAGGUAUGAAACUGACACAGUAGUGGUGCUUUGAAACUUAUCGAACUUCUGUUUUCUGAAUGCAUGAUAUAUUGCACAGCUGUUCUGCAAGUAUUCUAAAUUUGUUUUGGUUAGAUUGAAAAUGAAUAUGAACCAGCAAGGAAGGCGCUUGGAACGGCUGGCGAAGCAUAUGUCCAAUGGGCUGCACAAAUGGCUGUUGGAUUAGAUACUGGAGUUCCCUGGGUUAUGUGCAAAGAGGAUGAUGCCCCUGAUCCUAUCGUGAGUUUUCUUCACCUUAUUCUCAGUUUUGGUUAUUCACUUAUACAUUGUUAUCUCGGAUUUAGGAAUAAUGUUCUUGAAACCAUUGACUGAGGAUUCUAAGCAUGUGUCUUGAUCAGAUAAAUACAUGCAAUGGUUUUUACUGUGACGAAUUUUCUCCCAACAAACCUUACAAGCCAACUAUGUGGACUGAAGCUUGGAGUGGCUGGUAAUUAUCUUGUUUCUCAAAGACUUGAGUAAUGCAAAUAUAUGCUCAUUUUUAUGAACUGAUUCUCAUAUUCUUCUUUGUUGAGAGAAGGUUCACUGAAUUUGGUGGCACUAUACCUAUGAGGCCAGUUCAAGAUUUGGCAUUUGCGGUUGCACGGUUCACACAAAAAGGUGGCUCAUUUGUUAAUUAUUACAUGGUAAAUGAACUUCCUCAGCAAAAAGAAAAUGCAACAUUCAUAUUGAACAUGUUAUACAUGAUCUUGAUUGACGUAACUAUUUCUUCGCUUUCUUGCCUUAACUAUUCCUUCUUUUCACAGUUUCAUGGGGGAACCAACUUUGGACGCACAGCGGGAGGACCUUUUAUAACAACAAGCUAUGAUUAUGAUGCUCCGAUUGAUGAAUAUGGUGAGAUUAAUCAGUUUAGUCCACAUUUUUCAGCAGAAUUAAAGCUUAUCAUGACUAGAAAGUCCUUUUGUGCAUGAAUAUGGACACAGAAUCAAAGUUAUAUAUUAGUUCACGUUAUCAUUAUCACUACGAAGACAAUGUUUAGGGCGUGUCCUUUUAUUUCAUGACAUAAUCAAACUCUAGAUUGAACUUUUGGUUAUCAGCUAACUUCUUACCCUCAUAUUUUAUCAGGUUUGAUCAGGGAGCCUAAAUACAGCCAUCUAAAGGAGCUCCACAAGGCGAUUAAACUAUGUGAACAGGCUUUAAUAUCCUCAGAUCCCACUGUUAUUUCACUAGGAAGCUCUCAGGAGGUUAGUCCUCAAUUAAUAAGGGUCAAAAAUAUUAUAUGUGUUUUACUAUUUUGUGUUGCUGAAUCAACAAAGUCAUUUAUUUUAGGCUCAUGUAUUCUCGUCUGGCAAAAGAAACUGUGCAGCAUUUCUCUCAAAUUACGACAGCAACUCUGCUGCUAGAGUAGUUUUUAACAACAAGCACUUUAAUCUUCCUCCUUGGUCCAUAAGUAUUCUUCCAGAUUGCAAGCAUGUUGCCUUCAAUACAGCAAAUGUAAGUACCUUUUUAGUAUAAUGUGCUCUUCUCGUUGUCAUUCAAUCUAUUUUUGCUGAACAGAAUUACUAGUAGUUAUGUGCUUUACCUUUCAGCUUAGUGAUUUGAAACAUCCUUUUCUUUCUAAGGUUGGGGCGCAAACUUCACAAGUGAAAAUGAUACCAACUGGUUCUCAGCUGCACUCUUGGGGGGCUUACAGCGAAGAUGUAUUUUCUCUAGAGGACGGUUCAACAUUUGCAGCUAAUGGACUAUUGGAGCAGAUAAAUAUCACCAGAGAUAACAGUGAUUACUUGUGGUACAUAACAAGGUGAAGUUCAUAUAUAAGCAGAAAAUUCAUCCAACAUGAGUACAUAAACCUUCUAAUUACAUCUAAAUAAUUUCUACUGUCCCAGAAAUGUAAGUGUAUUGCCAAAACUUCUGGGGCAAAACUUUCUCUAAUAUGAUAUUUACCUGUAAUGCAGUGUUGAUAUUAGUCCCUCGGAAUCAUUUCUGCGAGGAGGACAGAAACCGACUCUCAGUGUCCACUCAAGUGGGCAUGCAGUUCAUGUCUUUGUAAAUGGGAAACUUUCAGGAUCUUCUUAUGGUAGUCGGAGGGAUACAAAGUUCACUUUCACAGGACCAGUUGAUCUGCAGGCCGGAACCAAUAGAAUUGAGCUACUGAGCAUUGCUGUAGGCCUGCCGGUUAGUUUCUCAUUGUUACCACCUAUAAUACUUAUCUACAAGAAAGGAGAAGGCAACUUCUUCUGAUUCUUUCAUUGCUGCUAGACUACCACUGUGUAAUUAGUGAUUCAUUUCAGGCAGAAACAAAUGUCAUUCUACUUGUGUUACUCUAUGCUGCUGGACUAAUAGUUUUUCUAUCUCAAUUGAAUUUAAAUACUCUUGUUGACGUGAAGAAUAUUGGACUGCAUUACGAGGAAUGGAACACAGGAAUACUUGGGCCAGUUGUUCUUCAAGGUCUCAACCAGGGCCAUAAAGAUUUAUCGUCGCAGAAAUGGACAUACAAAGUACUGAAUCUUACCAAACUUCCAUUGUUUCUUUUGCUUUCAAAAUAUUGACAGUAAAGUUUCUUCGAAAUAUAAUAUGUUGUCGAUACUCCUUAAACAGGUCGGAUUGAAAGGAGAAGCAAUGAACUUGAUCUCUCAUCAUGGAGUGUCUUCAGUUGAUUGGAUUGGUGGUGCACUAGCUACCCAGGGACAGCAACCACUUAAAUGGUACAAGGUAAAAAAAAAUAGUGAUAACUGAGAAGUUUACUUUAGGUUGUAUUUUGUAGGAGUUAUAGUCAUGCUAGAGAUUUAUAUUCCCGUAGAAAAUAUAGUGAAUUAGUACUUUCUUAUUUUUUAUAAUAUCGGUUUGUGAUGAGCUUAAAUGGAGGGACAUGUUUAGUAAAGAUUCAUAUAGCAGACCCCAACUUGCAUGGGAUUGAGACAUAGUUAUUACUAUUGUUUAUAAUAGGGAUUUGUUGCUGGAACUUACGACUCGUCUUGGAAUGUAUGUUUCAGGCUUAUUUCGAUGCACCAGAGGGAAAUGACCCUGUGGCCCUAGACAUGAGAAGCAUGGGUAAGGGACAAGUUUGGAUCAAUGGACAAAGCAUAGGUAGAUAUUGGACAGCAACUGCUAAUGGCAAUUGUGAUGCUUUCCACUAUGCUGGAACUUACAGACAAACUAAAUGUCAACUUGGUUGUGGUCAACCAACUCAGAAAUGGUAGUUCUUGAAAUUUUUAUUAGUUCUGCCAUCACUAGAAGCAUGUUACUGCUUAAAUUUCCUUUGUAUCAGUAAAUACACAUUAGAAUUUCCUAACUAAUCGUUUGUCUAUUCGGCUUCUCAGGUACCAUGUCCCAAGGUCUUGGUUGAAACCAACAGAAAAUUUGGUCGUCUUGUUCGAGGAACUAGGUGGUGAUGUAUCAAAGAUAUUGUUAGUGAAAAGGACAACUUCAUGAGUUCAGUUAGUUUAGGAAACGUCACCAGUAGGAAGGAAUUCUGUAGGUUUUUGAUUAUUAGGGAUAAAUCCAUGCUAUAGAGUCACAUUUCUUGGAAAAAGCCAAGAUCUAGGAGAAUUUCUGGUUUUACAUCUAUUAGAAUAUAUACACCACUUUGCGUGGUGGAUGGAUGUAUAUGUUUGACGUCUUCUGUUCCCAGUCACAGUUUGGUGUCUCACAUUCUUUCUGACAUUGUGUAACCAAUGACCUUCAUCAAGAAAAUAACUAGACAAAAGGUCUCAAGUCAUAUUUCAUAUCCAUUUCUGAACGAGCAAAAGGGAAUAUUUAUCACUGUCCUACUAUAAACUGGAUCUCUUGCAGUCGAAAUGUAACAAAAUACGGCUCCUGUCAUAUCGAGGGUCUACCGGAAACAACCUCUCUACCUUAUGUCAUCUCUACCUUCAUAAGGUAGGGGUAAGGUCUGCGUACACAUUAUCCUUCCCAGACCCCACUUGUGGGACUUCACUAGGUUUGUUGUUGUUGUUGUUGUUGCGGCUCUUGUCAUAUGCAGCGGCAGCAAAUUUUGGUUCCCAAUGAUUUUUAAACUUGUAUCAGGCCAAGAAAUGUUGCUUGUGCAAAGGAUACACGCACACACACAUUCAGAAUUGCUCACAUAUGCUGAUAAUGUACUAAGAGCAGUGAAAGAUGUAUUAACUUGUAAAUAAGUCCAGUGCUGUCGUAGCAAAAUGGAAGCUUCACAAGAGUAAAGCUGGAAAAUAGUCUUUUGAUAGAAAUGGUUAUAUAGCCUUGCACCAUGUGCACAUAUCAGAUUCCAAACCAAAACAAAGGUUCAUAAAAGCAUGAUGUAUAAUCAACAAACAACAAUUCAUAGAUCAAAAUUCGAUCCAGGGGAGUAUAUAUGUUGCUUUAUUUAGAAUAAGCCAUUAUGCUUUGCCACUUUGCGUGGUGAAUGUAUAUGUUGGUGCAUCCUGUUCCUCAUUCUAGUGAAAUUUAUGUUCAAACAUAAAUUCUAACUUCCAAAAUAUACUUGGACUUAAAACUUAAACACUAUGUUUUACAAUUUCAACCAAAGUUAAUUGUCCAAACGCGUUCUCAAAGAUAUGCUGAGAUGCUGGAUAAUGUACCGAGAGAACCAAACGUUCAAAGCAAUUGUAAAUAAGUCAGUGCUAUCCAAGCAAAAUGAGAGCUUCACAACAGUAGAAAUCUGAAAAUAGUCUUUCUGUAGAAUUGGGCAUAUAGCCUAACAUCAGUAACACCAAAUGCACAAAUCAGAUUCCAAGCACCAAGACAAAGGUUUCACAAAAGCAAUAAAAACAUGGUGGAUAAUAAAACAUACAAUCAUCCUUACUUUGAAGUUCGAACAAGUUACUUGGUUAUUACAGAAGACAAUACUAAAUAUGGGAUUUGAUUAAGGAGAUUCAUGCUGUCACCGUAGCAGGAGCAGCAUGCUUCACUAUGGUCUGCUGCAACUCCUCUUUUUUGGCACCAACAACCCUGUCCACUUCCUUCCCAUCUUUAAGAAAGACAAAUGUUGGCAUUGCCUCCACACUCCAUUCCUCCGCAACAGUCUACAAAAAAGUACCAAGAAUCACAAUCAAUCGCUAAACAUACUAGUCAAAGUACGAUUAUUAAGUUGAUACAAAAUUUGAUUGGAGAUGUACCUUCAGUUCAUCAACAUCAACCUUGAGGAAUAUAACAUGGGGCAUCUUCUUAGCAAUCUCAGCAAGAAUUGGGGCAAUAAAACGGCAAGGGCCGCACCAGGAAGCAGUAAAAUCCACCACCACCUGAAAUAAAGAGUUGUUUUUUACAUAAGUUCGAUGAGUUAAAAGAGAAGAUUUACCCCUAACAACUUUUGAAAAUCUGAGGCAUAUUUAGAAGCUACCAUCAUUCUGCACUAUAAUUUUACCUUAUCUAACAGCUAGGGGCUGAUGUAUAGUGCCACGGCUUAUGUUCAUCUAGUUAAAGACGGGGGCAUAUCUAGUGUAGGGAGUAAAAAUUUAUAAGUAAAAAUACAUUAUAAUUGUAAAAGUAGUAGACAUAAACCCAUAACUUUAAGAAUAAUGAGUUUUUAGAUUAACCCAUAUAGUUUAAAUUCUAAAUACGCCUUUGGUUAAAGAGUUUGUAAAAUGCAUAUGCCUAUACUAGGUUUUGAAUCCAAUGUCACAAAGCAAUAGUGAUGUAUAAGAUAGAUUUAAACCAGACAAGUUCUAAAAAUCUGAGGUAUGUUUAGGUGUACUACCAUCAUUCUAUACUAUAUUUGGCGAAGCAACUAGGCUUGACAUUUAGUACCUUCGGCUCAACUUAUGUACAAACAAUUAACUUUUUAAUAAAAUAGUACUUACACUAAGUUGGACUCUAAUGUCACAAUAAAAAACAAUGGUUGCAAUUAUAUUCAUUCCACAGAGCUGAUUUAAAAUCCUAGAUUAGCUCAUCUUUAAACAACUAAAUAAUCAGAAAAGUAACAAAGGUAAGCAUGAUAUCAACUUUAUAAUUGGGUCAUGUCUUCAACAGAGAUCGACUUAUCAAUUCUUCACAUCCUCCGAAAGCGAAAAAUUGCAGAAAUAUGACACCAUAAGAGGUGGUCUUGAAUUUUUGUGCCGGGCUUGGCGUAGCUGGUAAAGUUGCUACCAUGUGACCAGGUAAAGUUGCUGGCUCGAGAGCCGUGGAAACAGCCUCUUGCAGAAAUGCAGGGUGCAGCCGGCUGCAUACGAUAGACCCUUGUGGUCGGCCCUGCGCGCAGGGGGAGCUAAGUGCACGCCCUUUUUUUUCUUGCCUCAUGGGCGAAACUUCAAGGUCGAAAGUCAAAAAUAGCGACCUAGCUGAACUUUUUCGUCCAACCUAACAGCAACAUAGCAACUAUAUCUAGCAAUUUGUUCCAAUAUCGCAAUUAUGCGAAUCAAUAUACUAACAGAAACAUCAAAUCAAAGGCAAACAUGUUACAAUUAACUGAAAACCAAACAACGAAUAUUAAAGGCUUAAACUUUAAGCAACAACAGAAACAGAUCAGAAAAAUGUAAGCAAACGAAACCCCAAAAUCAACAAAGUCUCAUACAAUAAAUCGCAACAACAAAAAAACCAUUUUUAAAAUCAAACAACAAACAAAAACCAGCACACAGAAUAUACUAACAAAUAAGUCAAAGUAACAAAAGCAAAAUUACUAAGAAAAAGUCAAAAGUAAUAAAACCAUACCAAUUUCUUAGUCUCCACACCUUUCUGGAAGUGCUCGUUCCAUUCCUCAAUCUUGUGGCAGCCGAACACUUGUCCCUCCUCAGAUGAAGCUGCAGCCAUUUCUCACAAAUUUCUUAGAAGCAAAAAAAUUCAAACAACCAAACAAGCCCUUAACUUUAGCUCCUCGUAAAACUAACGCUGAAUGAGAGUGUAUUCCCAAGUAGAGACUUUUAUAUAGGGACAGGGAGGUAGUAAAUUACCAAAAUGUAACUGAUUUUAAGCUUUAUUACGAAUUAACCAUACGCGUCAUAGUGUGAACACUUUACUCGGUCGGUCUAAAUUUUUUGCAAAUAUCACAUUAAGGGUCGUUUGGUAGUAGAUAUUGGAAAAAAUAAUUAGUUAUACAUCAUACUUGGUAUUAUCAUAUGUAUAAGUAAUGCAUAGAAAACUAUGACAUUAGUAAUAUCAAGGCUAUUAAUACAUGUAUUAGUAUGGUUAAAGACAAAAUUGUCCUUAAAGUCCCUUAAAGCUAAAGAAUAUGAAGAAUAUUUUUCUUAAAAAUUAUGCAAUGCAUUAUUUGUGAAAGAUUCCUGUGAAAAGUUUCAUUAACACGGAAUUCGUGUCGAGUAGAAGACUCACAAGAGGCUGUUGAAACCAGAAGAGGUCUUUAUUUUCAUUUUUUUUAUCCUAUGGAUUGUUUUAUAGCGGUACGAUUACGAUGCUUGCUCCGAAUGGAAGAGAGACAGAAGAAAUAAGAUAAGUAAUUAAUUUAGAAUUCCCCGUCGCUCAUAUUCAUUACCGUAGGAAUUGGGUUCAAGCUUUCCCCAGCCCCUUCUCAUCAAUGGACGCUUUCGGAACCAUACUUCCUACAGCUAACAUGUGUCCAGUCCAGCGGGAACGCGCAGCGCAAACGAACCUGAGCUGCUAUACCGAAUCCCCCGCUGGCCAUCGGGGGGGAUUCCUUGGAUAAAGUGGAAAAAUGCUAAGAGAAAAUAAAGAGUUAGAAAGUUAGACAAAACAAAAAGGUUUCAAAAUAGAAUCAAUUAGUUUCAAUGAGUCAUCAACAGACGCAGAAGAAAUGGAAAAAAUAGGAUUUGUGGACUCGCCUCAGGAUGGAGGGGAAGCUACUGUGGAAGAAGGCAGUUGUUGAGCAAGUGACAUUGGUUGAAGUUCAAUAUGAAUAUGCAUCAUCAACCUUUAGUGGUUUUGCCCAACCUGCUAUCCGAAAGAAAAGGGAAUGGCUCGGCUAUCCCACCUAGCCAAGCCAGAAAAAUAAAUUAGAUAAAAUGAAUUGAAAAAAAAAAGAAAAAAGGAAUACAAAAAAGGGCAUGCUUAACACAGCCUAUAGCAUAAAGGCAUUCGAGCCGCGUCUAAACUAAAUGUUGGGCAAGGGCCCGUACUCUCUCUUCUGUGGAUACGCUAUCCCUUCCGGCUAUGGUAUGGGGAAGGGG
Molecule: long non-coding RNA, 85302 nt
Filed under: Nicotiana tabacum (common tobacco)
Lineage: Eukaryota; Viridiplantae; Streptophyta; Magnoliopsida; Solanales; Solanaceae
Description: long non-coding RNA (NTAB_LNC006171)
Source: RNAcentral